AAGUUGAUUCCUUUGCGAACUAUCAGACAACCACCCCAACAGAAGCAAUUGAAGGAGAAUUCCAUGUCAUAGUCAAAAACAUUUUUAGAUAACUUUCAUCACGACCAAAUAGCUCCAAACAUAAAGAAGUGCAUACAUGCUAACAACAGUGAUAAAGUGACAAAAUGACAAGAGGAUAACCCAUGAAAGUCUCCGGCCUCUCAGCUAAAGUACUCAUAACACCAACAUUUGAUAAAUAUAAGGUGAUAGCUACUAGUUCCUCAUUCCUCUUCCUCGUCACCACCUGCAUCGCCACCACCACUUGCCUUCUUCUGGUUCUUUCUCUUCACCCGGCCUGCAGGGCCUCCGCCGAAUGGACUUGUCAGUGAGAAGUCGAUGUGCUUCUCGGAUUCAACCCUCACCAUGAACGACGGGACAUUGACGAUCUGCCUGCCAACCCUGCAAUAUGGUUUCAAGAAAAUUAUUUUAACACUUCAUUCACAAAGUGAACAAGCAGGAACAUUCAUCAAAGAUAUCACUUCACAAUGAAAUCUCAAAGUGAAUGCCGCAUAUAAACCAGACCACAAACAGUAUAACACAAGAAGCAAAUACUAACAAUAUUGACAUAAUCUCAGUUACAGAAAACAGGUUCAACAUCUUUGCUUGGUGGGGUAUUAGCAAGAUAUACAACCUACCAAUAACAUUAUGUUGCCACAGAUCCAAUAUUGACGUGGCAAUCAGACCAUAAACAGGUGCAAUGAUACAAGAUAGGCAGUGCGGUGAAUGAAAGUACAGUAGAUUUCAAAAAGAACAUGCCACAAUAAACAGAGUACAUCCUGAAAGAUGAUAAAAUUCAGACAUGCAUGUAACCAGUAUCAGGGCAACAUGUAAUUCAGACAUGCAUGUAACCAGUAUCAGGGCAACAUGUAAAUCGGACAUGCAUGUAACCAGUAUCAGGGCAACAUGUAAUUCAGACAUGCAUGUAACCAGUAUCAGGCCAACAUGUAAUUCAUAGAUGCAUGUAAUAACCAGUAACAGACCAGCAUCAGGCAACCGAUAUUAAACAACUAGUGCAAACCAUUUAGAUUUCUAGAUCAACAUGCAAAUUUAUGGAACCAUAUGCCAAAACAUGCAUUGCAAGAAAAAUAUACCAGAAGUAUACCUGAUGUGGCGUUGCCUGAUCAAGACACGGGCAUGGUGGAUGGAUUUUGCCAUGCCAGCCUUGAAGACAAGAGUCUGAAGGCGCCUUGCAAGGAAGUUCUCAGCAGUCAGGGCAAGGACGUAAUCAAGCUUGUCCUGGCCCUCAGCAAGGAGACCAUAGCGGUUCAUGCGACGGAGAAGAGCCGCGCCCUCAAAGAUACGGCGGGGAUUCUUCUCAUCCAGUGUGAGCAAGUGUCUUGCCGCAUUACGGAUCCUGCUCAAUGCAUACUGAACCCUCCAGAGCUCACGCUUGCACCUCAGUCCAUACUCACCAACCAGCUUUAGUUCUGCAUCAAGACGCUCCUUCUCAUAAGGACGCCUUGGUUUCUUGAAUGUCUUACCAUCUGCAAGAGAAAACAUUUAACUUGUAAAUAUGGAAACAAGGCAGUAAAAACAGAACAAACAUGGGCAAUUUGUAGCAUAGAGCAAGUGCCAGGUACAAAGUGGGACAACAUAUGCCACUAUGUCCAAGUGCAUUAAAAGCAGGCAAUUAUAAUAACACAUUGGCAAAAAAGAAUAUGCAACAUCUAGGCUAUGGCAUACAACAUAAUCAGGUGGCUCCAUUAUGAAGCACCACCAUCAUUUCUGUGACUAUUCUAUUGGCAUGGUAUAUACCAAAUUCAAAGCUCCCACAUGAAGGACCAGUAACAGUAGGAAGUGAAUAAUUUCCACCGUGAAACAGAUAUAGGUUUAGACUUCACUUCGGCUGGCCUGAUACUAAAGUUAUCGGUAAACCUGAUGGCUAUGGACUGCAUACCAAUAUCCCUGAAGCAAGGAACUUGUUUAAAUCUGACGAGACUACCAACUGAGCGUAAUGAGAGAGCUAACAGUAAACAAAUGUCCAGUGCUCAAGUAAGACACACCUUUAAUUAGACCUAGGGCGCGGUCCUCAUGCCAGGCACGACUCAAAUCCAGGUAUUCAGAACAACAGGCAUGCCAAAAUCUUAUGCAAACAAACCUCUCAUCCAACAACGGCAUCACGCCGACGCAAAUCAUGCACUCGCUAAUCAACCUUCCCCCUCCCCUUACAGCAACUCGGCACGCAAGACAUCACGGCUACAAAUCGCUGACCUCUCAGCAGCCAUGCCCGAAGUAAGACGCCACAGCUAAGAGAUCUCAGAGCUCUGCGUUGCGGCAAGCCGCUGCCGUAGCAGGAAGCAGAAGGCUAACCGAUAGCAACUUGCUGCAACUAAGCCUAUGCGAGCACCACCCCAUCAGAUCACGGCGAGCACGAAGACACAAAUGACUGAAUACAAUUGAGCAGAGAGCACAAGAGGGUAUGGGAGACAGGAGGAUCGUGGAGCGGUCUUACAGUUGCGGUAGAAGUUGACGUGCACCAUGGCUGGAGCUCUCUCCUCUCUCUCUCUCCCGCUGCCGCCGCCGCCGCCGCCGCUCUGUGGUCGAGUUGAUAGGAGGGAGGAAUGGGAGAGGAGAAGAAGGGGUAUUUUAUACCUGCCAGCAAAACCCUAGCGGGCUGGGGGUAUCGAGUAUGGGUCGUUCGUUGGGCCCGUUAGUGUCCAAUGUGUGUGUGUGUGGGCACGCCCCUGAAUAGGCCAGGCCCAGUCAGGCAGCGUAGUUAUUUUUGCGUUAUAAAAAUAGUUCAGUAUCCCCUCAAAAAAUAUAAAUACAGACUCAAAUAGAAUUUUGAUGAACCCACUUUGAGGUAUCUGAUAAUUAUUAUUAAAAAUUAUAUAUGAUUCUAAUGAUCUCAUUUAUGUAUAUAUAAAAAUUGCAUCCUCUGCUUUUAAAUAUAACACGUUUUGGCAGUUCAAACAUCUUGUAAAUACUCGUAGUAAAUCCUACCAUCCGGUGGUAGGUACCCUCACGUCUCAUAGACUGCCAUGUCCUGAUUGUAAUCUACAUACAUAGAGUAUACUAGCAGAAAUAAUUCUCAUGAAAUUUUGACAUGGAUGAGAAAAUAAAUAAAUAAAUAAAUAUUGCAUGUGUCUGUAAGAGGUGAGGCGGAGCCCUCGAGCCGGUUGCGGCGAGGUUUCACAGAUUGUUGUUCACGUGUUGAAGCUCGUGCAGUGUUGUCUGAGCCCGUCGGGUGACGAGGCCGGAGCGACGAGGCCCGCGUGAUGAAAUCGCGCUGUGAGGCCUUCGCGGUGAGGUCACGCGAUGAUAUUGCACAAUGAGGCUAGAGCGGCAAACCAACGAUGCGGCACGGGCAUGGUCGAUUUAUCUACAGAAGGUAGUAAUGGCAGACGUGGACAAUUUUUUGUGAUGGUAAUAUUUAUGGAUAAUUAGAUAGAUACUACCUGGUUGUAAACGGUGAGGCAUAGCCCUUGAGCCGGUUAUGGCGAGCUUUGUGGAUUCACGACCAUGCGAUGGAGUUCGCAUGGUGAGACCUCCAGAUGGGGAGGUCCAUUGGGAGAUGAAGUCGGCGCGAGGAGGCCAACGGUUAGACCUACGAUGGAGGAGCUCCAUCGGGCGUUGAGCUCGGCGUGAGGAGGCCGACAGUGAGACCUCUAGCAGAGGAGGUCCGCGCGAUAAGAUGAGGUCGGCGUGAGGAGGCCGGUGGUGAGACUGAUGACUCACAAGUAUAGGGGUCAGCCGUAGUCCUUUUGGUAAGUAAGAGUGUCAAACCCAAUGAGGAGCGGAAGGAAAUGACAAGUGGUUUUCAGCAAGGUAAUUUCUGCAAGCACUGAAAUUGUCGAUAUCAGGUAGUUUGAUAGCAAGAUAAUUUAUAACAAGUAACAAGUAAAAAUAGUAACAAUAAGUGCAGCAAGGUAGCCCAAUCCUUUCGAUGGCAAAGGACAGGACAGAAUGAUCUCAGAUAAUCAGUAAAGCGUUCUUGAUGUCACACGGGAAUUUCAUAGUCAUUUUCAUUAUGUUGGUUUGAUUCGCGUUCGCUACUUUGAUAAUUUGAUAUGUGGGUGGACCGGUGCUUGGGUGUUGUUCUUACUUGAACAAGCCUCCUACUUAUGAUUAACCCCCUCGCAAGCCUCCGCAACUACGAAAGAAGAUUUAAGAUAACAAUCUAACCAUAACAUUAAACAUAUGGAUCCAAAUUAGCCCCUUAUGGAAUAGCGCGUAAACUAGGGUUUAAGCUUCUGUCACUUUAGCAACCCAUCAUUUUAUAACUACUCCACAAUGCAUUUCCUUAGGUCCAAAGAUGGUGAAGUGUCAUGUAGUCGACGUUCACAUAACACCGCUAAGGUAAUCACAACAUACAUAUCAUCAAAAUAUCGAACGAAUAUCAAAUUCACAUGAUUACUUGCAACAUGACUUCUCCGGUGGCCUCAAGAACAAGGACAACUACUCACAAAUAUUAUUUAUGCUCGAGAUCAGAGGGAUAUUAAAUAGCAUAAUGGAUCUGAACAUAUAAUCUUCCACCAAAUAAACCAUAUAGCAUCAACUACAAGAUGUAAUCAACACUGCUAGUCACCCACGGGUACCAAUCAGAGGUUCCAGUACAAAGAUUGAACACAAGAGAUGAACUAGGGUUUUGAGAUGAGAUGGUAUUUGUUGAAGAUGUUGAUGAAGAUUUUCCUCCCAAAGAUGAGAGGGUUGUUGGUGAUGACGAUGGCUUCGAUUUCCCCCUCUGGGAGGGAAGUUCCUCCGGCGGAAUCGCUCCGCCGAAGGGCAAAAGUGCUCCUGCCCAAGUUCCGCCUCGAGACGGCGGCGCUCCGUCCUGAAUGUCCUGCCCUUAAUUUUUGUAGGUCAAAACACCUUAUAUACCAGUAGAUGGGCACCGGAGGUGGCCCGAGGGGCCCACUACCCACCAGGGUGCGCCAGGGGGGUCUGGCGCGCCCUGGUGCCUUAUGUCCACCUAGCAGCCUGGAGGAAAUAUGCCCUAGAGGCAAUAAUAAAGUUGUUAUUUUAUAUUUUCUUAUGUCAUGAUAAAUGUCUAUUAUUCAUGCUAGAAUUGUAUUAACCAGAAACUUGAUACAUGUGUGGUUAAAUAGACAAAACAGUGUGUCCCUAGUAAGCCUCUACUGGACUAGCUCGUUAAUCAAAGAUGGUUAAGUUUCCUAACCAUAGACAUGUGUUGUCAUUUGAUGAACGGGGUCACGUCAUUAGGAGAAUGAUGUGACGGACAUGACCCAUCCGUUAGUUUAGUGUAUUGAUCGUUCAGUUUUACUGCUAUUGCUUUCUUCAUGUCAUAUACAUAUUCCUUCGACUAUGAGAUUAUGCAACUCCCGGAUACCGGAGGAAUACCUUGUGUGCUAUCAAACAUCACAACGUAACUGGGUGAUUAUAAAGAUGCUCUACAGGUAUCUCCGAAGGUGUUUUUGGGUUGGCAUAGAUCCAGAUUAGGAUUUGUCACUCCGAGUAUCGGAGAGGUCACUCGUACGCGUCGGUGUUAUACAAACGAUUUUUAACCCCUUUCCGCGACGGCAUUUGGAACCAUCGCCAAGUGAGUGUGUGCGAUAGGGGGGUCCUUCCCACACGACCCAAAAAUCGUCGGGGAUAGGCCCUCCUGGGACACAGGCUGGGGUCGUGUGCGAUCGGGCGAGGCAUCGAAACCCAAUCAUUUUCGUAGGUAUGUACAUCCCACACGGUGAAUCUCAGAAAAACAUUUCCGUAGGUAUGUACAUCCAACACGGUGAAUCCCAGAAAAACAUUUCCGUAGGUAUGUACAUCCCACUCGGUGAAUCCUAGAAAAACAUUUCCGUAGGUAUGUACAUCCCACACGGUGAAUCCCAGAAAAACAUUUCCGUAGGUAUGUAUAUCACACAGAGUCAAUCCAAGGAAUACGUUUCCGUUCUUAUGUACAUCCCACACAGUCAAUUCAGGGAAAACGUUUCCGUUUGUAUGUACAUCCCACACAGUUUUAUGUGUAGGCUCGUGUGUGAAAGGUGUAACUAUCACACACGCUCUGCCUUGGUUAACUCUUUGCUUUUAUCAACUACAUCACACACGAUUUGAUGAAGAAAAUUGUGUGGCAUUGGGCUAUCCAUCGCAAGCGAUUUUACUGCUAGAACCGUUUGCAAAGGUCCAUGACACAUUUAGCAGGUUUAUUAGUUUACAAUUAAUAAUUCCAGUAUUACGCAAAUUCACAUUUCAUAUCGAACAGCUGUUUGCCAAUUUCAUAUGAGGCACAUAAAUAUAUUAUAACAUCACAGUACGAUAGCUACAUGGAAACAACACAGUACAACACAUAGCUAGUUCAACUUCAUAAGAACAGUAUAUUCAUUUCCCUAAUCGAGAUCAUCCAGGCUCGUCUUAUCCACCUCUGCUUUCAGUUCAGAAAGAACCUGUUUUGCACGGGCCAAUUGGGAAAGUGCCUCCUCCUUCGCCAACACCAUCUUAGCAAAGUCUGAUUUAAAAAAUCUAAGCUCAUUCUCCACCUUCAACUUUUUAUCCCGGAUCUUUAAAUAUUCUUCAGCGUUGACAACAGUUUCUCUAAGCCUACGUCUGUUCUCUUCCUCAUACAUGCUCCAGAGCUUCGCUAGGCACAUCUUCAAAGACAGUGGCCACUCUUGAUCAACCCACUCCAAGUAAGAACACUUCUGUUCAUCCUAUAAUAUUUAAAACUAGAUCGGUAACAAUUGUAGGGAAUGGGUUUAUAGCAACAUAGAAAAUCACCAAUGCUUAUUUUGAAAAACUGAAGAAACAUGUUAAUUAUGACAUAUCUUCUCAAAAAGAUCAAUGUGCAAAUGAAUUAAUCGCUACUGAGACAACAACCAAAUUCUGGAACAUCAGAAGCUAUAAUUAACUACAACAAUGCUACAAGUUCUUACUCAUGUACAAUAAAUAACAAAUUCAACAUUUUAUGAGGAUGGUAAAUAUAACUGCAACAACAUAGCGAUAGUGUUUGGAUGACAGCAAAUUGAUACUAACAGGUGUGUACAUGCACAAAUUUGGUAACAUAUAACUAAUAACACUAAGGCCGUCCACUAUGUAUGUCAAAACUGGGGUAAAGACAACUGUUGCUACAUCUCGCACCGGUGCCCUGCAGUGGCGAGCCGAUGCAGCGGAAAAAAUUCAGGGACCCGGACUCCGGAGCACGUAGUUGCUCUGAUGCCCAGUUCCUUCGUGCCAUAAAGAUUUAGUAUUUUACUGCUUGGCUGCUCGGAUGUGUGAACCAAAGUUGGCUGCACAAACAGCUGAAGCGGUGCCAAAUAAUUUUCUAAUGGCACCGCUGAUGAGAUGGCAACAAUUUAAGAUACUAGGUACAAACUGUGAUACUGUCUUAGGAUGCGUUUGGUUGAAGGUGUGGUAUGAAUGGGUUGGGACCGUGACAGUGUCUGAAUCACAUCUAACAAAUGAUUUGUAACAACGAAAGAGGGUCUAACUUUCUCUACACAUGCCAGAAACUUCCUCCCACUGUCCAUAGAUUCAAACGCAACUAACUUCACGCAUGGAGAUUGAUGGUGACAACGAGCAGAUAGAUCUUCAGCCACCUCGCUCCAUUUGUUGCCACUGAUGGUCCUAGGGAGCUACAAGAGGAAGAAAUGGCUCAAAUCGACCGCUGGGUAAAAAUCCUUCAUUCGAAGUCAUAGCCCGAGAGAGAGAAGAGAGGCAUACCCGGGUGGUGAAGGAGUCGUCGCCGGAGGAGGAACCGCUGGAGAGGUCUUUGAAGAAGACCAUGGCGACCCCGGCAGUAGGAUGCGAGACGGUGAGAGCGAGGAAGCGGCUAUAGCUUAGCAAGGAAGGAAGGAAGGAGGAAACAAGGGAAAUGUGACUUGUGGUCGGGGAGAAAAGGGGAUGGGGAAGGGGGGAAGGGGCGGGGGUAGAUAUUUUGGCGGUAGGCCAAAAUUUCAUAAAUGUGGAGGGAAACUUUGCGCGCGGUGUCGCCGGACCAUUCACUUUGAACGAUUGUGUGCAUCGCAAACGAUUCUUCUGCUUUACGCGCAUGGGAUGAGUUUGAUAAUUCAAAUUUUGGUGGAAAUUUCCCUGGGUACGUCAUUGCAUAAUUUAAUAUCGCUUGCUAAUUUGGGCACACAAAAUAGCGUACAGCAGACAGACCACACUUAUUGAAUCGAGCAAUUUUAGUAAUUAAACAGAGCCAGUUGACCUAAACAUUUCUCUAACAAAAGACCAGCAUUAAAAACAAAGCCUAAGUACGCAUAAUUUUAACAAAUCCGCCGCCGCGCCAGCCUAUGCAUCGCCGGUGUGAGAUGAGACGUCGAUGACUUGUCCUGGCGACAUGCCGCCGUUGGUGGACUCUGCGUCCCCCUGCCGAAGUCGGCCGCGUCCUCGUCCUUGUCCUCAUCCUCGGCGCCGCCCUCAAGGUUGUAGUAUUCGUAGUAGUGGCUGUGCCAGAGCUUGCGUUGGUACUCCGCCGCCGAUUCCUUGACGGACAGACUCUUCUCUACCUCGACCUCGGCCACGCGCAACUCCUCCUCCUGGCGCUCCUCGAUCUCUGCCGCCUCCUGCAUCUCCAGCUCCCACUCGGCGACCUCAUGAGGAAGCAGGUGCUCCAUGGCCAUCGUCGCCUUUUCAGACGUGGAUUGCCUGCUGUAGUCCGAGGUGGCCUGGAAUAUCUUAGCGUGUGCAUCCUCGAUCUUGGCAUGGAUGCCUCGACCCGAGCCAGGGCGACAUCAGCGGCACGGACGGCAGCUCGAGUGCUCUCGGCAUUNNNNNNNNNNNNNNNNNNNNNNNNNNNNNNNNNNNNNNNNNNNNNNNNNNNNNNNNNNNNNNNNNNNNNNNNNNNNNNNNNNNNNNNNNNNNNNNNNNNNNNNNNNNNNNNNNNNNNNNNNNNNNNNNNNNNNNNNNNNNNNNNNNNNNNNNNNNNNNNNNNNNNNNNNNNNNNNNNNNNNNNNNNNNNNNNNNNNNNNNNNNNNNNNNNNNNNNNNNNNNNNNNNNNNNNNNNNNNNNNNNNNNNNNNNNNNNNNNNNNNNNNNNNNNNNNNNNNNNNNNNNNNNNNNNNNNNNNNNNNNNNNNNNNNNNNNNNNNNNNNNNNNNNNNNNNNNNNNNNNNNNAGGGGGUGCGGGAAUGGGGUUCGAGAUUCAUGGAUUCGAGGGUUGCCGGCACUGGAGCAGAUGAGCCGGCGAAGCUUAAGGAGGGAGACUUAAAUAGACCCAGAUAUUUUCAUCGCAAACGGUUCCUAGAAAACAACUGCGUGUGAUGUUGUAGAUAUUUUUUAUUAGCUGUGAAAGACGAAUUUGGAGUAAAGUGACAAUGGAUGGAGUUUUAAAUGUACGAGAAAUUUUGUAGUACUAGUACAACAGUCAUGUCAAAUUUUGGAAAAUUUCAGGGGUCAUUUCACCUUUUAAGACAUUUAAGUGAUUUUCUAGCCAUUUAAUGACCGUAAUUCAAAUUUGAACUACAUCUACAUGCAACGGCUAACCAAAACGGUUUAAAAAAUCAUAUUUGUGUAUUUGUGUGCGAGUUAAUUCCAUGUGCAGUAAAUUAGAAGGAAUUUUCAAACAUAUUUGUCUCGCGACCUAGACACAUGCAUAUGUAUGCAUGGAGUGACAUGGCAUUUUAAUUCCAAAAAAUAAAAAAUAUCAGAAAGACAUGAAACCUUGGUUGAUGUAAUGUCAUGCCGCCAAGAUGAUGUGGUAAAAAAAUUGGCAUGUUUGACAAAGGUUUGGACACAAACCCCUCACAAACCGGAGCACACUAAAAGGCUCGUGGUUCCGACAGGGAACAAUGCAUGUUUGAUGACGAACGGGAGAUAGCUUCCUCUUACGGCCUUUAAUUUUUUUCUACGUCUAACAUGCACUACUACAACUGUAAUGUGAAAUUUUGGAAAAUUCUAUGGGUCAUUUGACCUUUUAAAGACAUUUAUGUGAUUUUGUAGCCAUAUUUAAUGACCGUAAUUCAAAUUUGAACUACAUCCAUAUGCAACGGUUAACCAAAAUGGUUUGAAAAAUCAUAUUUGUGUACUUGUGUGCGAGUUAAUUCCAUGUGCAGUAAAUUAGAAGGAAAUUUUCAAACAUAUUUGUCUCGCGACAUGGACACAUGCAUGCAUAUGUAUGCAUGGAGUGACAUGGCAUUUUAAUUCCAAAAAAUUUAGAAAAUAUCAGAAAUACAUGAAAUCUUGGUUGAUGUAAUGUCAUGCCACAAGAUGACGUGGUAAAAAAAAUUGGCAUGUUUGACGAAAGUUUGGACAGAAACCCCUCAUAAACCGAAGUAACUCACUAAAAGGCUCGUGGUUCCGAGAAUGAACAAUGCAUGUUUGAUGACGAACGGGAGAUAGCUUCCUCUUACGGCCUUUAAUUUUUUCCACGUCUAACGUGCACUAUUACAACUAUAAUGUGAAAAUUUGGAAAAUUCUAGCGGUCAUUUGACCUUUUAAAGAUAUUUAAGUGAUUUUCUAGCCAUAUUUAAUGACCGUAAUUCAAAUUUGAAUUACAUCUAUAUGCAACGGCUAACCAAAACGGUUUGAAAAAUCAUAUUUGUGUACUUGUGUGUGAGUUAAUUCCAUGUGCAGUACAUUAGAAGGAAUUUUGAAACAUAUUUGUCUCACGACAUGGACACAUGCAUAUGUAUGCAUGGAGUGACAUGGCAUUUUAAUUCCAAAAAAUUUAAAAAAUAUCAGAAACACAUGAAACCUUGGUUGAUCUAAUGUCAUGCCACCAAGAUGAUGUGGUAAAAAAAUUGGCAUGUUUGACGAAAAUUUGGACACACACCCCUCACAAAUCGGAGCAACUCACUAGAAGGCUCGUGGUUCCGAGAGGAAACAAUGCAUGUUUGAUGACAAACGGAGGAUAGCUUCCUUUUACUGUCUUCAAUUGUUUUACGUCUAACAUGCACUACUACAACUGUAAUGUGAAAUUUUAGAAAAUUCUAGGGGUCAUUUGACCUUUUAAAGAUAUUUAAGUGAUUUUCUAGCCAUUUAAUGACCGUAAUUCAAAUUUGAACUACAUCUACAUGCAACGGCUAACCAAAACAGUUAAAAAAAAUCAUAUUUGUGUAGUUGUGUGCGAGAUAAUUCCAUGUGCAAUAAAUUAGAAGGAAUUUUCAAACAUAUUUGUCUCACAAGAUGGACACAUGCAUACGUAUGCAUGGAGUGACAUGGCAUUUUAAUUCCAAAAAAUUUAAAAAAUAUCAGAAACACAUGAAACCUUGGUUGAUGUAAUGCCAUGCCACCAAGAUGAUGUGGUAAAAAAUAGCAUGUUUGACGAAAGUUUGGACACAAACCCCUCAGAAACCGGAGCAACUCACUAGAAGGCUCGUGUUUCCGAGAGGGAACAAUGCAUAAUUGAUGACGAACGGAAGAUAGCUUCCUCUUACGGCCUUCCAUUUCUUUCUACGUUUAACAUGCACUACUACAACUGUAAUGUGAAAUACAACUAUAAUGUGAAGGUUUAAAAAAAUACAACUGUAAUGUGAAAUUUUGGAAAAUUUCUAGGGGUCAUUUGACCUUUUAAAGACAUUUAAGUGAUUUUCUAGCCAUUUAAUGACCGUAAUUCAAAUUUGAACUACAUCUACAUGCAACGCCUAACCAUAACAGUUUGAAAAAUCAUAUUUGUGUACUUGUGUGCGAGUUAAUUCCUUGUGCAGUAAAUUAGAAGGAAUUUUCAAACAUAUUGGUCUCAUGGCAUGGGCACAUGCAUGGAGUGCCAUGGCAUUUUAAUUACAAAAAAUUAAAAAAUGAUCAGAAAAACAUGAAACCUUGCUUGAUUUAAUGUCAUGAAACCUUGCUUGAUUUAAUGUCAUGCCACCAAGAUGAUGUGGUAAAAAUUGGCCUGUUUGACGAAAUUUUUAACACACACCCAUCACAAACUGGAGCAACUCACUAGAAGGUUCGUGGUUCCGAGAGGAAACAAUGCAUGUUUGAUGACGAACGGGAGAUAGCUUCCUCUUACGGCCUUCAAUUUUUUCUACGUUUAACAUGCACUAAUACAACUAUCAUGUGAAAAUUUAGAAAAUUUCAGGGGUCAUUUGACCUUUUAAAGACAUUUAAGUGAUUUUCUAGCCAUUUAAUGACCAUAAUUCAAAUUUUAACUACAUCUACAUGCAACGCCUAACCAUAACGGUUUGAAAAAAAAUCAUAUUUUUGUGUACUUGUGUGUGAGUUAAAAAAAUCGUCAGACAAUGUAAAUAUGUGGUGUUCAAAAAAGAAAAUGUAAAGAUCUGGCAAGACAACCGGCCCCCACACGAUUGGCACUCUAUCUCGCGGCUCGAGGUUUGGUAGGUGAGUGGCGGGGAUCAUUAAUCAGACACGGUUCUAUAUUAGAAACCGUCAGCUAUUAUGUUCACACACGGAGUUUGCUGCGGGAAUCGUGUGUAAUUCAAACUAUAGUAUUCGUAAAUUCCGGCAACCGGCGUGUGUACUGUCCCCGUCGAUCUAGAUUCCGGCCGCUAAUAAAUACUACCUUGCUCAUGUCGUCCCGCCUGCAUUCUCAUCUACAUCCUCCACUCGCUGGCCCCCCAUCCCUCUCUCUCUCUCUCUCUCAAAUCUCUGCCAUGGCGCCGCCGGUCUGCCCACGCGCCGACGAGCAGUCGCCGCCCCCUGAGGACGCUCACUCGAUUAGUAGCGACGAGGACCCCUACGCGGCGCCUGACGAGGUUUCGCCGGAGCCCCCAACUUUCGAUUGGUUUUGGGGCCAAUACAAUCCUUGUUUGUGGAAGUCGCUGCCGUCGGUUGAGAAAGCCAGGCAAGUGGCGUUCAAGAAGGAGAUGGCGGAGGAGGAAGCCAGGUACCAGGCGGCAUGUAAGCCUGUGAUGCCGCGUGGAAAAAGGAGGCGACAGAGCUUUGGGGGCGGGCGCGUCGUCGUGCCAAGGAGGUGUACGAAGACAGGUACUUCGCGAGGAAGGUCAUAUGCGUUGGGCGCCUCGUCGCUGCGUGGAGGUGGGCCGAUAAGCUCCAGCGUGCCACCAACGAGGAGCUCCAGUGAGCGCCAACGAAAUGGCAAGAUCGUCCACGCGCGUCCGCCCGCAAGAGGCAGAUCGGUACGUCAAGCGCUGUGAGGCGGAGGAGGCGGAGUACUGCCUCCGCACUGGGAAGACGUCGUGCACCAGGGAGCUGCUGGCGAGGGGCUGCCGGAAUACUGGCCCCAGGAGGGAUUAUUAGUUUUAGUAUUGUUUGUUUUCAAUUUUAUGCAUCGUACCUAGUAGUUAAGUAUCAUCACGUAUAUGUGAUGAUAUUAUAUAUAUAUAUUCUAUGAUGAACUAAUGAAUAAUUAAUAUAUAUAUAUAUAUAUAUAUAUUAUGAAUUCCAUUUUCUAUCUGUUUUUGUACACUAAUUUGAAUCUAGCUGUUAUCAUCCACAUAUACAGAAUGGAAAGCGUAUACACACACAUUGAAACAAAACAUAUAAGAAUGGAAAAUAGAGUACACACAUUGAAACAAAGCGAUAAACAGAGCAAUACUAUGAUUGUUGUGAAUACAUAGCUAUCCACGUCGAAACGACUCAACGAAAUAAAACGCGUCCAUGAGACCAUGACCAGCAGCCCUUGCCUACGGUAGCUCUUGGCUCGGCCUGAACUCGUGCAGGCAUUCGUCCAAGCGGUCGACACGCUCGCGAUACAUCUGGAGCGCGAUCUCAAGCUCCAAAUUGGCUAUUUCAUCAGAGAUCACCAGCUCGAGGAUGCGACGGCCAUGUUCCUCUACUGCGCCCAGGUGGACACCUGGGCCAAGGAGGCGGUCGAGCCUACAGACCAACGCGUUGGCAUCCAGCGGGCCGUAGACAAGGCGAACGGCGGCACCCAUGCGAACGGCACGGCGGGCGUCCGGUGCAAGUACGGCGCGGCCGGCCUCUGGUGCAAGUACGACGCUGAGGGCUGUUGGGGAACGUAGUAAUUUUAAAAAAUUUCCUACGCACACGCAAGAUCAUGGUGAUUCAUAGCAACGAGAGGGGAGAGUGUGUCCACGUACCCUCGUAGACCAAAAGCAGAAGCGUUAGCACAACGCGGUUGAUGUAGUCGUAGGUCUUCAUGAUCUGACCGAUCAAGUACCGAACGCAUGGCACCUCCGAGUUCUGCACACGUUCAACUCGAUGACAUCCCUCGAACUCCGAUCCAGCCGAGCUUUGAGGGAGAGUUCCGUCAGCACGACGGCGUGGUGACGAUGUUGAUGUUCUACCAUCGCAGGGCUUCGCCUAAGCACCACUACUAUAUUAUCGAGGUGGACUAUGGUGGAGAGGGGCACCGCACACGGCUAAAAGAUCCAAGACAUAAAUUGUUGUGUCUAUGGGGUGCCCCUCUCCUCCGUAUAUAAAGGGGGAGGAGAGGGCCGGCCAAGGGGAGGAGGCGCGCCCAAGGGGGGAGUCCUACUCCCACCGGGAGUAGGACUCCUCCUUUGUUGGAAAUAUGCCCUAGAGGCAAUAAUAAAAUGGUUAUUAUUGUAUUUCCUUGUUCAUGAUAAUUGUCUAUUGUUCAUGCUAUAAUUGUAUUAACUGGAAACCGUAAUACAUGUGUGAAUACAUAGACCACAACAUGUCCCUAGUAAGCCUCUAGUUGACUAGUUCGUUGAUCAAUAGAUGGUUAUGGUUUCCUGACCAUGGGCAUUGGAUGUCAUUGAUAACGGGAUCACAUCAUUAGGAGAAUGAUGUGAUGGACAAGACCCAAUCCUAAGCAUAACACAAGAUCGUGUAGUUCGUUUGCUAAGAGCUUUUCUAAUGUCAAGUAUCGUUUCCUUAGACCAUGAGAUUGUGCAACUCCCGGAUACCGUAGGAAUGCUUUGGGUGUACCAAACAUCACAACGUAACUGGGUGGCUAUAAAGGUGCAUUACAGGUAUCUCCGAAAGUGUCUGUUGGGUUGGCACGAAUCGAGACUGGGAUUUGUCACUCCGUAUGACGGAGAGGUAUCUCUGGGCCCACUCGGUAAUGCAUCAUCAUAAUGAGCUCAAUGUGACUAAGUAGUUAGUCACGGGAUCAUGCAUUACGGAACGAGUAAAAUGACUUGCCGGUAACGAUAUUGAACGAGGUAUUGGGAUACCGACGAUCGAAUCUCGGGCAAGUAACAUACCAAUUGACAAAGGGAAUUGUACGGGAUUGAUUGAAUCCCCGACAUCGUGGUUCAUCCGAUGAGAUCAUCGUGGAACAUGUGGGAGCCAAUAUGGGUAUCCAGAUCCCGCUAUUGGUUAUUGGCCGGAGAGAUGUCUCGGUCAUGUCUGCAUGGUUCCCGAACCCGUAGGGUCUACACACUUAAGGUUCGGUGACGCUAGAGUUGUUAUGAGAAAUAGUAUGUGGUUACCGAAGGUUGUUCGGAGUCUCGGAUAGGAUCCCGGACGUCACGAGGAGUUCCGGAAUGGUCCGGAGGUAAAGAUUUAUAUAUGGGAAGUCAUCAUACGGUCACCGGAAGUAUUCGGGGGUAUGCCGGUAUUGUACCGGGGCCACCGAAGGGGUUCCGGGGGUCCACCGGGAGGGUCCACCUGCCCCGGAGGGCCUCAUGGGCUGUAGGUGGAAGGGAACCAGCCCCUAAGUGGGCUGGGCACCAACCUCCCCCUAGGGCCCAUGCGCCUAGGGUUGGGGGAAACCCUGGAGGGGGCGCCCCCCUUGACUUGGGGGGCAAGCCACCCUCGCUGGUCGCCGCCCCUCCCACCGGAUGGGAUCUAAGGGGCCGGGCCCCCUCUCCCUUGCCCCUGCAUAUAGUGGAGGGGUGGGAGGGCAGCCGCACCCCUGGCCUGGCGCUGCCCUCUCCUCCUCCAACUCCUCCUCCUCCGUAGUGCUUAGCGAAGCUCUGCCGGAGAACCACGAGCUCCAUUGCCACCACGCCGUCGUGCUGCUGGAGUUCUCCCUCAACUUAUCCUCUCCCCUUUCUGGAUCAAGAAGGAGGAGACGUCCCCGGGCUGUACGUGUGUUGAACGCGGAGGCGCCGUCCGUUGGGCGCUAGAUCGGAUCUUCCGCGAUUUGAAUCGCUGCGCGUACGACUCCAUCAACCGCGUUCUUGUAAUGCUUCCGCUUAGCGAUCUUCAAGGGUAUGAAGAUGCACCCCCUCUCUCUCGUUGCUAGCAUCUCCUAGAUUGAUCUUGGUGACACGUAGGAAAAUUUUGAAUUAUUGCUACGUUCCCCAACAGUGGCAUCAUAAGCUAGGUCUAUGCGUAGAUUCUAUGCACGAGUAGAACACAAAGUAGUUGUGGGCGAUGAUUUGUUCAAUUUGCUUACCGUUACUAGUCUUAUCUUGAUUCGGCGGCAUUGUGCGAUGAAGCGGCCCGGACCGACCUUACACGUACUCUUACGUGAGACAGGUUCCACUAACUGACAUGCACUUGAUGCAUAAGGUGGCUAACGGGUGUCUGUCUCUCCCACUUUAGUCGGAUCGGAUUCGAUGAAGAGCGUCCUUAUGAAGGGUAAAUAGCAAUUGGCAUAUCACCGUUGUGGCUUUUGCGUAGGUAAGAAACGUUCUUGCUACAAACCCAUAGCAGCCACGUAAAACAUGCAACAACAAUUAGAGGACGUCUAACUUGUUUUUGCAGGGUAUGCUAUGUGAUGUGAUAUGGCCAAAAGGAUGUGAUGAAUUAUAUAUGUGAUGUAUAGGAUUGAUCAUGUUCUUGUAAUAGGAAUCACGACUUGCAUGUCGAUGAGUAUGACAACCGGCAGGAGCCAUAGGAGUUGUCUUAAUUUAUUGUAUGACCUGCGUGUCAAUGAAAACGCCAUGUAAUUACUUUACUUUAUUGCUAACCGUUAGCCAUAGUAGUAGAAGUAAUAGUUGGCGAGACAACUUCAUGAAGACACGAUGAUGGAGAUCAUGAUGAUGGAGAUCAUGGUGUCAUGCCGGUGACGAAGGUGAUCAUACCGCGCCAUGAAGAUGGAGAUCAAAGGCGCAAGAUGAUAUUGGCCAUAUCAUGUCACUUUAUGAUUUGCAUGUGAUGUUUGUCAUGUUUACAUCUUAUUUGCUUAGAACGACAGUAGCAUAAAUAAGAUGAUCCCUCACUAAAAUUCCAAGAGACGUGUUCCCCCUAACUGUGCACCGUUGCGAAGGUUCGUUGUUUUGAAGCACCACGUGAUGAUCGGGUGUGAUAGAUUCUAAUGUUCACAUACAACGGGUGUAAGCCAGAUUUACACAUGCGAAACACUUAGGUUGACUUGACGAGCCUAGCAUGUACAGACAUGGCCUCGGAACACAAGAGACCGAAAGGUCGAACAUGAGUCGUAUAGUAGAUACGAUCAACAUGGAGAUGUUCACCGAUGAUGACUAGUCCGUCUCACGUGAUGAUCGGACACGGCCUAGUUGACUCGGAUCAUGUAUCACUUAGAUGAUUAGAGGGAUGUCUAUCUGAGUGGGAGUUCAUUAAAUAAUUUGAUUAGAUGAACUUAAUUAUCAUGAACAUAGUCAAAAGGUCUUUGCAAAUUAUGUCGUAGCUUACGCUUUAGUUCUACUAAGAGAUGUUCCUAGAGAAAAUUUAGUUGAAAGUUGAUAGUAGCAAUUAUGCGGACUGGGUCCGUAUACUGAGGAUUGUCCUCAUUGCUGCACAGAAAGCUUAUGUCCUUAAUGCACCGCUCGGUGUGCUGAACCUCGAGCGUCGUCUGUAGAUGUUGCGAAACAUCUGACAUACACGUUUUGAUGACUACGUGAUAGUUCAGUGCGUAAUGCUAACGGUUUAAAAUUGUGGCACCAAAGACGUUUUUGAAACGUCGCAGAUAAGAUGAGAUGUUCCAAAGACUGAAAUUGGGAUUUCAGACUAGUGCCCACGUCAAGAGGUAUGAGACCUCUGACAAGUUUCUUAAGCCUGCAAACUAAGGGAGAAAAGCUCAAUCAUUGAGCAUGUGCUCAGAUUGUCUGAGUACUACAAUCGCUUGAAUCGAGUGGGAGUUAAUCUUCCAGAUGAGAUAGUGAUGGUUCUCCAUAGUCACUGCCACCAAGCUAUUAGAGCUUCGUGAUGAACUAUAACAUAUCAGGGAUAGACAUGAUGAUCCUUGAGCAACUCGCGAUGUUUGACCCCGCGAAAGUAGAAAUCAAGUAGGAGCAUCAAUUGCUGAUGGUUAGUAAAACCACUAGUUUCAAGAAGGGCAAGGGAAAGAAGGGAUACUUCAUGAAACGGCAAAUCAGUUGCUGCUCUAGUGAAGAAACCCAAGGUUGAACCCAAACCCGAGACUAAGUGCUUCUGUAAUGAGGGGAACGGUCACUGAAGCAGAACUACCCUAGAUACUUGGUAGAUGAGAAGGCAGGCAAGGUCGACAGAAGUAUAUUGGAUAUACAUUAUAUUAAUGUGUACUUUACUAGUACUCCUAGUAGCACCAGGGUAUUAGAUACCGGUUCGGUUGCUAAGUGUUGGUAACUCGAAAUAAAAGGCUACAGAAUAAACGGAGACUAGCUAAAGGUGAGAUGAAGAUAUGUGUUGGAAGUGUUUCCAAGGUUGAUGUAAUCAAACAUCGUACGCUCCCUCUACCAUCGGGAUUGGUAUUAAACCUAAAUAAUUGUUAUUUGGUGUUUGCGUUGAGCAUAGACAUGAUUGGAUUAUGUUUAUCGCAAUACGGUUAUUCAUUUAAGGAGAAUAAUGGUUACUCUGUUUAUUUGAAUAAUACCUUCAAUGGUCUUGCACCUAAAAUGAAUGGUUUAUUGAAUCUCGAUCGUAAUGAUACACAUGUUCAUGCCAAAAAGAUAUAAGACAAUAAUGAUAGUACCACAUACAUGUGGCACUGCCACUUGAGUCAUAUUGGUAUAAAACGCAUGAAGAAGCUCCAUGUUGAUGAAUCUUUGGACUCACUCGUUUUUGAAAAGAUUGAGACAUGCGAACCAUGUCUAUUGGUAGAUAUGCAUGAAGAAACUCCAUACAGAUGGAUCAUUUGGACUCACUUGAUUUUGAAUCACUUGAGACAUGCAAAUCAUAACACAUGGGCAAGAUGACUGAAAGGCCUCGUUUUCAGUGAGAUGAAACAAGAGAGCAACUUGUUGGAAGUAAUACAUUUGAUGUGUGCAGUCCAAUGAGUGCUGAGGCACGCAGUGGAUAUCGUUAUGUUCUUACUUCACAAAUGAUUUGAGUAGAUGUUAAGAAUAUUUACUUGAUGAAACACAAGUCUGAAUUAUUGAAAGGUUCAAGUAAUUUCAGAAUGAAGUUGAAGAUCGUCGUGACAAGAGGAUAAAAUGUCUAUGAUAUGAUCAAAGAGAUAUCUGAGUUACGAGUUUGGCACACAAUUAAGACAUUGUGGAAAUUGUUUCACAACUAAUACCGCCUGGAACACCAUAGUGUGAUGGUGUGUCCGAACAUCAUAACUGCACCCUAUUGGAUAUGGUGCAUACCAUGAUGUCUCGUAUCGAAUUACCACUAUCGUUUAUGGGUUAGGCAUUAGAGACAACCGCAUUCACUUUAAAUAGGGCACCAUGCAAUUCCGUUGAGAUGACACCGUAUGAACUAUGGUUUAGAGAAACCUAAGCUGUCAUUUCUUAAAAGUUUGGGGCUGCGACGCUUAUGUGGAAAAGUUUCAGGCUGAUAAGCUCGAACCCAAAGCGGAUAAAUGCAUCUUCAUAGAAUACCCAAAACAGUUGCGUAUACCUCCUAUUUCAGAUCUGGAAGCAAAAGUGAUUGUUUCUAGAAACGGGUCCUUUCUCGAGGAAAAGUUUCUCUCGAAAGAAUUGAGUGGGAGGAUGGUGGAGACUUGAUGAGGUUAUUGAACCGUCACUUCAACUAGUGUGUAGCAGGGCAUAAGAAGUUGUUCCUGUGGCACCUACACCAACUGAAGUGGAAGCUUAUGAUAGUGAUCAUGAAACUUCGGAUCAAGUCACUACCAAACCUCGUAGGUCGACAAGGAUGCAUACUACUUCAGAGUGGUACGUAAUCCUGUCUUGGAAGUCAUGUUGCUAGACAACAAUGAACCUACGAGCUAUGGAGAAGCGAUGAUGGGCCCGGAUUCCGACGAAUGGCUCGAGGCCAUAAAAUCCGAGAGAAGAUCCAUGUAUAAAAACAAAGUAUAGACUUUGGAAGAACUACUUGAUGGUCGUAAGGCUGUUGGGUGCAGAUGGAUUUUAAAAGGAAGACAGACAAUGAUGGUAAGUGUCACCAUUAAGAAAGCUCGACUUGUCGUUAAGAUGUUUUCCGGCAAGUUCAAGGAGUUGACUGCGAUGAGACUUUCUCACUCGUAGCGAUGCUAAGAGUCUGUUGGAAUUAUAUUAGCAGUUACUGCAUUAUUUAUGAAAUCUUGCAGAUAGGAUGUCAAAACAUUGUUUCCUCGACGAUUUUCUUGAGGAAAGGUUGUAUGUGAUACAACCAGAAGGUUUUGUCAAUCCUGAAAGAUGCUAACAAGUAUGCAAAGCUCCAGCAAUCCUUCUAAGGACUGGAGUAAGCAUCUCGGAGUUGGAAUGUACGCUUUGAUGAGAUGAUCAAAGAUUUUGGGUUUAUACAAAGUUUAUGAGAAACUUAUAUUUCCAAAGAAGUGAGUGGGAGCACUAUAGAAUUUUUGAUGAGUAUAUGUUGUUAACAUAUUGUUGAUCAGAAAUGAUGUAGAAUUUCUGGAAAGCACCCAGGGUUAUUUGAAAAGUGUUUUUCAAUGGAAAACCUGGAUUAAGCUACUUGAACAUUGAGCAUCAAGAUCUAUAAGGAUAGAUCAAAAACGCUUAAUAGUACUUUCAAAUGAAUACAUACCGUGACAAGAUUUUGAAGGAGUUCAAAAUAGAUCAGCAAAGAAGGAGUUCUUGGCUGUGUUACAAGGUGUGAGUAUUGAGUAAGACUCAAGACCUGACCACGGCAGAGGAGAGAGAAAGGACGAAGGUCGUCCCCUAUGCUUUAGACGCAGGCUCUACAAUAUGCUAUGCUGUGUACCGCACCUGAAGUGUGCCUUGCCAUGAGUUAGUCAAGGGGUACAAUAGUGAUCCAGGAAGGGAUCACAUGACAGCGGUCGAACUUAUCCUUAGUAUCUAGUGGACUAAGGAAUUUUCUCGAUUAUGGAGGUGGAAAAGGGGUUCGUCGUAAAGGGUUACGUCGAUGCAAACUUGAACACUAAUCCGGAUGACUCUGAGUAGUAAACCGGAUUCGUAUAGUAGAGCAGUUAUUUGGAAUAGCUCCAAGUAGCGCGUGGUAGCUGCAUCUACAAGAUGACAUAGAGAUUUGUAAAGCACACACGGAUCUGAAUGUUGCAGACCCGUUGACUAAUAACCUCUCUCACAAGCGAGAUAUGAACAAACCCCAUGGGUGUUGGAUUCAUUACAAUCACAUAGUGAUGUGAACUAGAUUAUUUACUCUAGUGCAAGUGGGAGACUGUUGGAAAUAUGCCCUAGAGGCAAUAACUAAAUGGUUAUUAUUGUAUUUCCUUGUUCAUGAUAAUUGUCUAUUGUUCAUGCUAUAAUUGUAUUAACUGGAAACCGUAAUACAUGUGUGAAUACAUAGACCACAACAUGUCCCUAGUAAGCCUCUAGUUGACUAGCUCGUUGAUCAAUAGAUGGUUAUGGUUUCCUGACCAUGGACAUUGGAUGUCAUUGAUAAUGGGAUCACAUCAUUAGGAGAAUGAUGUGAUGGACAAGACCCAAUCCUAAGCAUAGCACAAGAUCGUGUAGUUCGUUUGCUAAGAGCUUUUCUAAUGUCAAGUAUCAUUUCCUUAGACCAUGAGAUUGUGCAACUCCCGGAUACCGUAGGAAUGAUUUGGGUGUACCAAACGUCACAACGUAACUGGGUGGCUAUAAAGGUGCAUUACAGGUAUCUCCGAAAGUGUCUGUUGGGUUGGCACGAAUCGAGACUGGGAUUUGUCACUCCGUAUGACGGAGAGGUAUCUCUGGGCCCACUCGGUAAUGCAUCAUCAUAAUGAGCUCAAUGUGACUAAGUAUUUAGUCACGGGAUCAUGCAUUACGGAACGAGUAAAGUGACUUGCCGGUAACGAGAUUGAACGAGGUAUUGGGAUACCGACGAUCGAAUCUCGGGCAAGUAACAUACCGAUUGACAAAGGGAAUUGUAUACGGGAUUGAUUGAAUCCCCGACAUCGCGGUUCAUCCGAUGAGAUCAUCGUGGAACAUGUGGGAGCCAAUAUGGGUAUCCAGAUCCCGCUAUUGGUUAUUGGCCGGAGAGAUGUCUCGGUCAUGUCUGCAUGGUUCCCGAACCCGUAGGGUCUACACACUUAAGGUUCGGUGAUGCUAGAGUUGUUAUGGGAAAUAGUAUGUGGUUACCGAAGGUUGUUCGGAGUCCCGGAUAGGAUCCCGGACGUCACGAGGAGUUUCGGAAUGGUCCGGAGGUAAAGAUUUAUAUAUGGGAAGUCAUCAUACGGUCACCAGAAGUAUUCGGGGGUAUGCCGGUAUUGUACCGGGGCCACCGAAGGGGUUCCAGGGGUCCACCGGGAGGGUCCACCUGCCCCGGAGGGCCUUAUGGGCUGUAGGUGGAAGGGAACCAGCCCCUAAGUGGGCUGGGCACCAACCUCCCCCUAGGGCCCAUGCGCCUAGGGUUGGGGGAAACCCUGGAGGGGGCGCCCCCCUUGACUUGGGGGGCAAGCCACCCUCCCUGGCCGCCGCCCCUCCUACCAGAUGGGAUCUAAGGGGCCGACCCCCCUCUCCCUUGCCCCUAUAUAUAGUGGAGGGGUGGGAGGGCAGCCGCACCCCUGGCCUGGCGCAGCCCUCUCCUCCUCCAACUCCUCCUCCUCCUCCUCCGUAGUGCUUAGCGAAGCUCUGCCGGAGAACCACGAGCUCCAUUGCCACCACGCCGUCGUGCUGCUAGAGUUCUCCCUCAACUUCUCCUCUCUCCUUGCUGGAUAAAGAAGGAGGAGACGUCCCCGGGCUGUACGUGUGUUGAACGCGGAGGCGCCGUCCGUUCGGCACUAGAUCGGAUCUUCCGCGAUUUGAAUCGCUGCGAGUACGACUCCAUCAACCGCGUUCUUGUAAUGCUUCCGCUUAGCGAUCUUCAAGGGUAUGAAGAUGCACUCCCUCUCUCUCGUUGCUAGCAUCUCCUAGAUUGAUCUUGGUGACACGUAGGAAAAUUUUGAAUUAUUGCUACGUUCCCCAACAUCCUUUUCCUAUUUGGAGAGGGAGAGGGAAGGAAGAGGAAGGAGGGAGGAAGGAAAGGGGGGGGGCGGCGGCCCCCCUCCCAAUUCAGAUUGGGCUUGGGGGGGCGUGCCCCCUCCCUUGCUCCUUUCCCCACCUUUCCACUAAAGCCCAUUAAGGCCCAUAUACCUCCCGGGGGGUUCCGAUAACCUCCCGGUGCUUCGGUAUUAUCCCAAUCUCACCCGAAACCAUUCCGGUAUCCAAAUAUAGUCGUCCAAUAUAUCGAUCUUUACGUCUCGACCAUUUCGAGACUCCUCGUCAUGUCCGUGAUCACAUCCGGGACCCCGAACUACCUUCGGUACAUCAAAACACAUAAACUCAUAAUAUAACCGUCAUCAAACUUUAAGCGUGCGGACCCUACGGGUUCGAGAACUAUGUAGACAUGACCAAGACACGUCUCCGGUCAAUAACCAAUAGAGGAACCUGGAUGCUCAUAUUGGCUCCUACAUAUUCUACGAAGAUCUUUAUCGGUUAAACUGCAUAACAACAUACGUUGUUCCCUUUGUCAUCGGUAUGUUACUUGCCCGAGAUUCGAUGGUCGGUAUCUCAAUACCUAGUUCAAUCUCGUUACCGGCAAGUCUCUUUACUCGUUCCGUAAUACAUCAUCCUGCAACUAACUCAUUAGUUGCAAUGCUUGCAAGGCUUAAGUGAUGUGCAUUACCGAGUGGGCCCAGAGAUACCUCUCCGACAAUCGGAGUGACAAAUCCUAAUCUCGAAAUACGCCAACCCAACAAGUACCUUCGGAGACACAUGUAGAGCACCUUUAUAAUCACCCAGUUACGUUGUGACAUUUGGCAGCACACAAAGUGUUCCUCCGGUAAACGGGAGUUGCAUAAUCUCAUAGUCAUAGGAACAUGUAUAAGUCAUGAAGAAAGCAAUAGCAACAUACUAAACGAUCAAGUGCUAAGCUAACUGAAUGGGUCAAGUCAAUCACAUCAUUCUCCUAAUGAUGUGAUCCCGUUAAUCAAAUGACAACUCUUUGUCCAUGGCUAGGAAACCUAACCAUCUUUGAUCAACGAGCUAGUCUAGUAGAGGCAUACUAGUGACACUCUGUUUGUCUAUGUAUUCACACAUGUAUCAUGUUUUCGGUUAAUACAAUUCUAGCAUGAAUAAUAAACAUUUAUCAUGAUAUAAGGAAAUAAAUAAUAACUUUAUUAUUGCCUCUAGGGCAUAUUUCCUUCAGUCUCCCACUUGCACUAGAGUCAAUAAUCUAGAUUACAUAGUAAUGAUUCUAACACCCAUGGAGCCUUGGUGCUGAUCAUGUUUUGCUCGUGGAAGAGGCUUAGUCAACGGGUCUGCAACAUUCAGAUCCGUAUGUAUCUUGCAAAUCUCUAUGUCUCCCACCUGGACUUGAUCCCAGAUGGAGUUGAAGCGUCUCUUGAUGUGCUUGGUUCUCUUGUGAAAUCUGGAUUCCUUUGCCAAAGCAAUUGCACCAGUAUUGUCACAAAAGAUUUUCAUUGGGCCCGAUGCACUAGGUAUGACACCUAGAUCGGAUAUGAACUCCUUCAUCCAGACUCCUUCAUUUGCUGCUUCCGAAGCAGCUAUGUACUCCGCUUCACAUGUAGAUCCCGCUACGACGCUUUGUUUAGAACUGCACCAACUGACAGCUCCACCGUUCAAUAAAAACACGUAACCGGUUUGCGAUUUAGAAUCAUCCGGAUCAGUGUCAAAGCUUGCAUCGACGUAACCAUUUUCGACGAGCUCUUUGUCACCUCCAUAAACGAGAAACAUAUCCUUCGUCCUUUUCAGGUAUUUCAGGAUGUUCUUGACCGCUGUCCAGUGAUCCACUCCUGGAUUACUUUGGUACCUCCCUGCUAAACUAAUAGCAAGGCACACAUCAGGUCUGGUACACAGUAUUGCAUACAUGAUAGAGCCUAUGGCUGAAGCAUAGGGAACAUCUUUCAUUUUCUCUCUAUCUUCUGCAGUGGUUGGGCAUUGAGUCUUACUCAACUUCACACCUUGUAACAUAGGCAAGAACCCUUUCUUUGCUUGAUCCAUUUUGAAUUUCUUCAAAACUUUGUCAAGGUAUGUGCUUUGUGAAAGUCCAAUUAAGCGUCUCGAUCUAUCUCUAUAGAUCUUGAUGCCCAAUAUAUAAGCAGCUUCACCGAGGUACUUGAUUGAAAAACUCUUACUCAAAUAUCCUUUUAUGAUAUCCAGAAAUUCUAUAUCAUUUCCAAUCAACAAUAUGUCAUCCACAUAUAAUAUCAGAAAUGCUACAGAGCUCCCACUCAAUUUCUUGUAAAUACAGGCUUCUCCAAAAGUCUGUAUAAAACCAUAUGCUUUGAUCACACUAUCAAAACGUUUAUUCCAACUCCGAGAGGCUUGCACCAGUCCAUAAAUGGACCGCUGGAGCUUGCACACUUUGUUAGCUCCCUUUGGAUCGACAAAACCUUCGGUUGCAUCAUAUACAACUCUUCUUCCAGAAAUCCAUUCAGGAAUGCAUUUUUGACAUCCAUUUGCCAAAUUUCAUAAUCAUAAAAUGCGGCAAUUGCUAACAUGAUUCGGACAGACUUAAGCAUCGCUACGGGUGAGAAGGUCUCAUCGUAGUCAAUCCCUUGAACUUGUGGAAAACCUUUUGCAACAAGUCGAGCUUUAUAGAGAGUAACAUUACCGUCAGCGUCAGUCUUCUUCUUGAAGAUCCAUUUAUUCUCAAUGGCUUGCCGAUCAUCGGGCAAGUCAACCAAAGUCCACACUUUGUUCUCAUACAUGGAUCCCAUCUCAGAUUUCAUGGCCUCAAGCCAUUUUGCGGAAACUGGGCUCACCAUCGCUUCUUCAUAGUUCGUAGGUUCAUCAUGGUCUAGUAACAUAACCUCCAGAACAGGAUUACCGUACCACUCUGGUGCGGAUCUUACUCUGGUUGACCUACGAGGUUCGGUAACAACUUGAUCUGAAGUUUCAUGAUCAUCAUCAUUAAUUUCCUCACUAAUUGGUGUAGACGUCACAGGAACCGGUUUCUGUGAUGAACUACUUUCCAAUAAGGGAGUAGGUACUGUUACCUCAUCAAGUUCUACUUUCCUCCCACUCACUUCUUUCGAGAGAAACUCCUUCUCUAGAAAGGAUCCAUUCUUGGCAACGAAUGUCUUGCCUUCGGAUCUGUGAUAGAAGGUGUACCCAACAGUUUCCUUUGGGUAUCCUAUGAAGACACAUUUCUCCAACUUGGGUUCAAGCUUAUCAGGUUGAAUCUUUUUCACAUAAGCAUCGCAGCCCCAAACUUUAAGAAACGACAACUUUGGUUUCUUGCCAAACCACAGUUCAUAAGGCGUCGUCUCAACGGAUUUUGAUGGUGCCCUAUUUAACGUGAAUGCGGCCGUCUCUAAGGCAUAACCCCAAAACGAUAGCAGUAAAUCAGUAAGAGACAUCAUAGAUCGCACCAUAUCUAGUAAAGUACGAUUACGACGUUCGGACACACCAUUACGCUAUGGUGUUCCGGGUGGCGUGAGUUGCAAAACUAUCCCGCAUUGUUUCAAAUGUAGACCAAACUCGUAACUCAAAUAUUCUCCUCCACGAUCAGAUCGUAGAAACUUUAUUUUCUUGUUACGAUGAUUUUCAACUUCACUCCGAAAUUCUUUGAACUUUUCAAAUGUUUCAGACUUAUGUUUCAUUAAGUAGAUAGAGAAAAGUAUGUUUUUCGUCCCUCAAGUUCCCAAAAAGUGCAGACUUCGUCCUUCAACUUUUUUGGUCUACUUUUGGUCCCUCAAGUUCCAAAACCGGUCAAGUUUCGUCCGAAUUCCGGUUUCGCUAGAAAACAGGACACGUGGCGUGGUAUUCUCUUUCCCCUCACUUGCCACGUCCGACCCGCCGUUGGGUCAAACAGACCGCCCGAGCGACGCCGUCAGCUCACUCUCCCCCUCGCGCUCUUCUCUUCCUCUUCUCUCUCUCCGUCCCGACCUUGCCGUCACCUUGCCCGGCAUCGUUGCCUUGCUCGCCGCCAGCGCCUUGUUCCCCUUCCCCGCCGGCGCCAUGCGAACUCGCGAGGAGAUCCUUGGGUGGAUGAGUGCGGACAGAAGCAGUUGUGCUCCUACACAGGUAAGUGCCAAUUUGUGAUCUAGGGUUAGGGAUUUGGGGAUUUAGGGUUCUUCCCUGGUGAUUGAGGGACUAAGGGGAGGUGCUGUUGGGUGUUGUUUGUCGUUGAAUAGGUCUAUAUGCCUGAGGAACUGAUAUCUGGCAAAGUGCCUCUCGCAAUUGAAGAUCCAGAGUUUUGCGGCAUUGAAACCGAGAGCAAUUUUAGUUGUUUUUGUGGAUUUUUGCCGGUGAGAAAGGUUGCUUAUGAAGGUGUGAACACAGGCAGAAGGUUCGUUUGUUGCAUGCGGGAGGUGAAUUUAGUUGUCACAUUCAUUUCUUUCUACCAAAUAUGCAUUGUAAUGUUCGGAUGAACUGAUGCAAUUUAUUUGAAUUUUAGGAUGAACAAGCAUGUCAUUUUCUGAUGUGGUAUGAUCCUGAAUGGCCUGCACCAGCGCAGAGAUCUAUCAAUGCACUUUAUAAGUUGAAGGCUGAAGAUUGUAAGAUGGAAUUGGAGCUCAUGUUGGCCGAUAAGAUAUCUGACAUGGAAGAAAAAGAGAAGAAAAUGCAGCAGAAGAUGAUAUCCAAGACGAAGGCAAUGAAGAUGGAGCUAAACAAGAAGGAUCUGUUUAUCUGGGUGUUAGUUGGUAGCAAUAUAGCUUUAUUUGCAGUGCUAGCUGUGCUUAUUGGACUGAAAAUGUAAUGUUUUUGUAAGUUGCACUGCUAGCUGUUGCCAAGAACUGAAUGUAAUAGGCUAAGAUGCUAUGUAUGUUAGUUUGUUGUGCUUAUAAGCACUGACCAAUUGUACCUAUUUCAGUUCACAUUAUAAGCACUGAAUUAUUCUGUACUAAAUUGUGCUCUAUGUUGUACAUAUUGGCUUGAUCUCUUUUUGGCAUUUGGAAAUCAAGUAGGCACACAUAUUCAACAGGAAGUGAGAGCAAGCACACAAUUGUAAGUGCUAGAACAAGUAGCCCAGGUUCAUCUUGUUCAGUACACAAACAACAGGUUUUCUGAAGGAAACAAAGCACAGUGUUCAAAUUUAACUGGAGACAUGAGAUAAGAAGGAAACAAACACACAUGUUUUCUGAACAUACACACUGGCCUCACUCAAGCAGCUUGCUGGGCACUUUUUUUGCUCUUUUCUUUGCUCUAGUGAAGUUGGUGUUAGCAGCUCCAGAACUGAAAUUCAUAGUAACUCCAGAGCUGCUGCUAACAUUGACAUGAACAUUCUUCACAGUGGCCUUUGAGGUAGCAGUGACCUUGCUCUGAGGUGGUUUGAAAGGCUUGAAUCUGCUAACAUUUGAAGGUGGCCUUCUUGAAGUAGAUGGAAUGUCUGAUGGAGCUUUUCUCUUGCUACUCACAUUUGUGCUUUCCUGUGAGGGUUGCACAGGACUAGCCUUUGUAGCUGGCCUAGAACUGCCCUUUGUAGUUGGCUUUGCACUAGAAUUCCUAGUAGUUGGGGCACUGCUAGCAGAUGGUUUAGGAGCAGUACACUUUGUUUUGUUGUGACCUGUGCAUUUGCAAACAGAGCAUCUACUGAUUGUGCCAACUUUAACCCAUCCUGUGCUUAGGUGCAGUGGGUUUCUCUCCCUUCCCUUUCUUCCUCUCAGUUCUUGGCCUUCCUGGCAUUUUUACAUAUCCUGGAGCUGCUGGCCUAGGUCUGUUGGAUUCAGGCCAAGUUGCCAUACCAUCUACUGGCUGGAGGAAGUGUGAGUAUGUUGCCUUGAAAUUCUCCACUGAAAAGCAGCUAGCAACAUAGCCAGAAAUGUCAUUUGUGACCAUGUGUAUAGCACACACAGCAUGUGCACAUGGUAAACCAGAGAGCUGCCAGUACCUACAGCUACAUGUCCAGUUGGUCAAAUCAACUUUGAAUCUAUACUGCACUCUUUGUGUCACUUCAAAGCAGUUGUUGCCAUUAGAUAUGGCAGUGCAAUGAGCUGACUCAUUGAUCAUCUUUUCAAGUUUUUUCAUAAUGUUUGGACAGAUAGUACCACUCCACUUUGGCCACUUGUCAUUGUUCUCUUGUAUCCUUACCAUGAUUUUCCUUCUAAUGGUCUCUUGCAUAGUAAUAACAGCAAAGAAUCUAGCUUCCACAAUCCACUUAUUAAAGCUCUCACACAUGUUGUUGUCUACACUAUCACAGUUGGAUCCUAACCUCAUCCAUGCUCUGCUCCAGUGACAUGGGUCUAUUUUAGUGACAGCCCUUGCACCCAUAACAGUUUCCUUGGCCAACUUCUCCCUAGCAUGAUUAAACAGAGCUACAUUUGAUGCUUUUGCACAUCUCCAGAACAGUUUCUGCCAGUCCUUGUUUCUGAAUUUAAGUCUCCAGUUAGCAUAUAUAUGUCUGGCACAAUUCCUAUGCUCAGCCAAUGGUGCCCAGUUCUGAACUGCUGUUAUAAUUCCCUGAAAAAAUAAAAAAUAAAUUGUUAAUUAGCAUUUCCAAUUUGCAAAAAGUAGCAAUAAAUUAUGGAGAUCUCUAAAUUAUGUAGCACUCACUUUCUGCUGGUCAGAUAUGAACACCCAGCCUUGACCAUCUUCCACUUCCAAAUCUCUAAACAGUAAAUCACAGAACCAAUCCCAUGAGUCAUUAUUCUCCUUCUCAACUACUGCCCAUGCAAUUGGGUACAUUUGGUUAUUUGCAUCCCUCCCUAUAGCACAGAGCAGCUCUCCAUUUGUUGCUCCUUUGAAAAAACAUCCAUCCAUUCCUACUACUUUUCUACAACCUGCCUUGAAACCUUCUUUCAGAGCAGCCAAGCACACAUACAUUUUCAGAAAUGUCGGUACUCUUUCCUUUGGAUCAAGUUUGACAACAACAGUGCUUCCUGGAUUGCUCCUCAGCAAUUCCAACUGAUAAUCAAACACUUUUGAGUAUUGGAACUUGGUGGAAUCAUACACUCUCUGCUUCACAAUUUGUUUUGCUCUCUUAAUUUGUGAUGUGCUCACAUUUGCAAACAUGUCCUCUUGCACAUGUGCUUUCAAGCUGUCAAUCUUCCAUCCUGGGUGCCCUCUAAUGAGCUUAUCAUAUUUUUGUGCAAUCCUCACUAAAGUGACCAGCUUGUUGUCCUUCCUUUUUGGGCAACAAUGUUUAUCUAUGAAAGAUGUCACCUGCCAACUAUUGCACCUACUUGUCCUACUUAGUAAACAGAACCAGGGACAUGUCCCCCAAUCACACUCUGCUCUGCACCUUACAGAAUCAUUUUUCUUAAACCUAAUUAACCUUCUGUGAUGCAGUCCAUAAGUAAUUAUUGCUUUUCUGAACUCUUCCUUUGAUUCAAAUUUCAUUCGAAGACAGAACUCUGGUACUUCUCCUCUGUCUUUGUACACAGGAUAUUUUUUUGGUUUGCUGAUAGCCUCUCCAUCACUGUUUUCUUCAAAAGAGUCAUCAAAAUCUGAGCUGUCUGAGUAGCUUUCAGCAGCUGCAUCCUCUCCAACAUUUUCCCUUGAACCUACUGCUGCAUCUGUAAUGAACACUUCAUCUAAAAUGUCAAUGUUGCUAGCCCUGAGUUUCUUCUUGUACUCUACAUAGUCAGCAUUGAUCUUUCUUGCUUCUUCAUCAUCCUCAGAUGCUGACUCAUCAUCAGGUAUAUAAUCACUGUCCUCUUCAUCAGACUCUCCAUCUUGUGCAUCAGUAUUCCCAUCUAAUCUGGGCACUUGCUCUUCUAGCAUAACUACACUUAAAGGGGUGAACUGUUCCUCUUCCUCUCUAGCAGAGCAUGCUGUUGCAACUGUUUCUUCCCCAUCAGCAGGAGCAUGCUUCUCAACAUACACAUCUGCAACUCCUCCAUCACAAACAAACUCAGCCAUCUUAAGAACAGUGUUGUCAUCAUGCAGAAAAACAAGUCCAUCAUUCAUCUCUUUUCCUGGAACUAACCAAUAUAACUGACAUUGUAUCCCCUCCACAUCAGUGCAAUGAUCUCUUAAAUGCCCCAAAAGCUCGGGCAAAGAAAGCUUAUCUCUGUCAAUGUCUGACAUAGCUUCACUGCCUCCCAAAUACAUCAUGUGGUUCCCAUUCUUCACAAAUUCGCCAUUAUAAUGGAACAUGACAUGAAUUAAAUCCAGAGGAUCCAUUACUCCCUACAAUAGAUGGACACAAAUUUCAGAUUCGGCUACAACCUAAGUGGAUGGCAUCUACCUACGAAUCCUAAACAAUAUACGCAAAAAAACAUACCUGAAGGUCUGCCGGUGGUCGCUGUCCUGAUAGUUCUCGUCAUCGCCGGUGUAUACAGAUCGGUGCCGCUGCGUAGAUCUGCGCCUAGGUAUACUGCAUCGGCGCCGCCGUAGCUUUUCUCAAGGGCGCCGCCAUCCCUGGCUCCGACGCCAACGCCGACCACCACGCCAAAUCGGGAUCCGCCGCCGCCAAGCCUAGGGUUUGGGAGAGAGGUCACAGAGGAAAGGGAAAGGGGGAGAGUGAGCUGACGGCGUCGCGCGGGCGGUCUGUUUGACCCAACGGCGGGUCGGACGUGGCAAGUGAGGGGAGAGAGAAUACCAUGCCACGUGUCCUGUUUUCUAGCGAAACCGGAAUUCGGACGAAACUUGACCGGUUUUGGAACUUGAGGGACCAAAAGUAGACCAAAAAAAGUUGAAGGACGAAGUCUGCACUUUUUGGGAACUUGAGGGACGAAAAACAUACUUUUCUCAAGUAGAUAUACCCAUAUCUGCUUAAAUCAUCUAUGCAGGUGAGAAAAUAACGAUACCCGCCGCGAGCCUCAACAUUCAUUGGACCACAUACAUCAGUAUGUAUGAUCUCCAAAUCAGUUGCUCGCUCCAUAGUUCUGGAGAACGGCGUUUUAGUCAUCUUGCCCAUGAGGCAUGGUUCGCAAGUACCAAGUGAUUCAUAAUCAAGUGAUUCCAAAAGUCCAUCAGUAUGGAGUUUCUUCAUGCGCUUUACACCAAUAUGACCCAAACGGCAGUGCCACAAAUAAGUUGCACUAUCAUUAUCAACUCUGCAUCUUUUGGCUUCAACAUUAUGAAUAUGUGUAUCACUACUAUCGAGAUUCAUCAAAAAUAGACCACUCUUCAAGGGUGCAUGACCAUAAAAGUUAUUACUCAUAUAAAUAGAACAACCAUUAUUCUCAGAUUUAAAUGAAUAUCCGUCUCGCAUCAAACAAGAUCCAGAUAUAAUGUUCAUGCUCAAUGCUGGCACCAAAUAACAAUUAUUUAGGUCUAAAACUAAUCCCGAAGGUAGAUGUAGAGGUAGCGUGCCGACGGCGAUCACAUCGACUUUGGAACCGUUUCCUGCGCGCGUCGUCACCUCGUCCUUAGCCAGUGUCCGCUUAAUCCGUAGUCCCUGUUUCGAGUUGCAAAUAUUAGCAACAGAACCAGUAUCAAAUACCCAGGUGCUACUGCGAGCUCUGGUAAGGUACACAUCAAUAACAUGUAUAUCACAUAUACCUUUGUUCACCUUGCCAUCCUUCUUAUCCGCCAAAUACUUGGGGCAGUUCCGCUUCCAGUGACCAGUCUGCUUGCAGUAGAAGCACUCAGUCUCAGGCUUAGGUCCAGACUUGGGUUUCUUCUCCUGAGCAGCAACUUGUUUGCUGUUCUUCUUGAAGUUCCCCUUCUUCUUCCUUUUGCCCUUUUUCUUGAAACUGGUGGUCUUAUUGACCAUCAACACUUGAUGCUCCUUCUUGAUUUCUACCUCCGCAGCCUUUAGCAUUGCGAAGUUCAUCACGAAGCUCUUGUAGCUUGGUGGCAGUGAUUGAAGAAUUCUAUCAAUGACGCUAUCAUCCGGAAGAUUAACUCCCAGUUGAAUCAAGUGAUUGUUAUACCCAGGCAUUCUGAGUAUAUGCUCAUUGACAGAACUAUUCUCCUUCUUGCAGCUGUAGAACUUAUUGGAGACUUCAUAUCUCUCAAUCCGGGCAUUUGUUUGAAAUAUUAACUUCAACUCCUGGAACAUCUCAUAUGCUCCAUGACGUUCAAAACGUCGUUGAAGUCCCGGUUCUAAGCCGUAAAGCAUGGCACACUGAACUAUCGAGUAGUCAUCAACUUUGCUCUGCCAAACAUUCAUAACAUCUGGUGUUGCUCCUACAGCAGGUUUGGCACCUAGCGGUGCUUCCAGGAUGUAAUUCUUCUGUGCAGCAAUGAGGAUAAUCCUCAAAUUACGGACCUAGUCCGUGUAAUUGCUACCAUCAUCUUUCAACUUUGCUUUCUCAAGGAACGCAUUAAAAUUCAACGGAACAACAACACGAGCCAUCUAUCUACAACAAACAUAGACAUGCAAAAUACUAUCAGGUACUAAGUUCAUGAUAAAUUUAAGUUCAAUUAAUCAUAUUACUUAAGAACUCCCACUUAGAUAGACAUCCCUCUAAUCAUCUCAGUGAUCACGUGAUCCAAAUCAACUAAACCAUAACCGAUCAUCAUGUGGAAUGGAGUAGUUUUCAAUGGUGAACAUCACUAUGUUGAUCAUAUCUACUAUAUGAUUCAUGCUCGACCUUUCGGUCUCAGUGUUCCGAGGCCAUAUCUGCGUAUGCUAGGCUCGUCAAGUUUAUCCUGAGUAUUCUGCGUGUGCAAAACUGGCUUGCACCUGUUGUAGAUGGACGUAGAGCUUAUCACACCCGAUCAUCACGUGGUGUCUGGGCACGAUGAACUUUGGGGAGAACACUUUUAUCUUGAAAUUUAGUGAGAGAUCAUCUUAUAAUGCUAUCGUCAAUCAAAGCAAAAUAAGAUGCAUAAAAGAUAAACAUCACAUGCAAUCAAUAUAAGUGAUAUGAUAUGGCCAUCAUCAUCUUGUGCUUGUGAUCUCCAUCUCUGAAGCACCGUCAUGAUCACCAUCGUCACCUGCGCGACACCUUGAUCUCCAUCAUAGCAUCGUUGUCGUCUCGCCAACUAUUGCUUCUACGACUAUCGCUACCGCUUAGUGAUGAAGUAAAGCAAUUACAGGGCGAUUGCAUUGCAUACAAUAAAGCGACAACCAUAUGGCUCCUGCCAGUUGUCGAUAACUCGGUUACAAAACAUGAUCAUCUCAUACAAUAAAUAUAGCAUCAUGUCUUGACCAUAUCACAUCACAACAUGCCCUGCAAAAACAAGUUAGACGUCCUCUACUUUGUUGUUGCAAGUUUUACGUGGCUGCUACGGGCUGAGCAAGAACCGUUCUUACCUAUGCAUCAAAACCACAACGAUAGUUCGUCAAGUUAGUGCUGUUUUAACCUUCUCAAGGACCGGGCGUAGCCACACUCGGUUCAACUAAAGUUGGAGAAACUGACACCCGCCAGCCACCUGUGUGCAAAGCACGUCGGUAGAACCAGUCUCGCGUAAGCGUACGCGUAAUGUUGGUCCGGGCCGCUUCAUCCAACAAUACCGCCGAACCAAAGUAUGACAUCCUGGUAAGCAGUAUGACUUGUAUCGUCCACAACUCACUUGUGUUCUACUCGUGCAUAUAACAUCAAUGCAUAAAACUGGCUCGGAUGCCACUGCCGCCCCCCUCCCAAUUCGGAUUGGGCUUGGGGGGCGCACCCCCUCCCUUGAUCCUUUCCCCUCCUUUCCACUAAAGCCCAUUAAGGCCCAUAUACCUCCCGGGGGGUUCCGAUAACCUCCCGAUGCUUCGGUAUUAUCCCGAUCUCACCCGGAACCAUUCCGGUAUCCAAAUAUAGUCGUCCAAUAUAUCGAUCUUUACGUCUCGACCAUUUCGAGACUCCUCGUCAUGUCCGUGAUCACAUCCGGGACUCCGAACUACCUUCGGUACAUCAAAACACAUAAAUUCAUAAUAUAACCGUCAUCAAACUUUAAGCGUGCGGACCCUACGGGUUCGAGAACUAUGUAGACAUGACCGAGACACGUCUCCGGUCAAUAACCAAUAGCGGAACCUGGAUGCUCAUAUUGGCUCCUACAUAUUCUAUGAAGAUCUUUAUCGGUCAAACCGCAUAACAACAUACGUUGUUCCCUUUGUCAUCGGUAUGUUACUUGCCCGAGAUUCGAUCAUCGGUAUCUCAAUACCUAGUUCAAUCUCAUUACCCGCAAGUCUCUUUACUCGUUCCAUAAUACAUCAUCCCGCAACUAACUCAUUAGUUGCAAUGCUUGCAAGGCUUAAGUGAUGUGCAUUACCGAGUGGGCCCAGAGAUACCUCUCCGACAAUCGGAGUGACAAAUCCUAAUAUCGAAAUACGCCAACCCAACAAGUACCUUCGGAGACACCUAUAGAGCACCUUUAUAAUCACCCAGUUACGUUGUGACGUUUGGCAGCACACAAAGUGUUCCUCUGGUAAACGGGAGUUGCAUAAUAUUAUAGUCAUAGGAACAUGUAUAAGUCAUGAAGAAAGCAAUAGCAACAUACUAAACGAUCAAGUGCUAAGCUAACUGAAUGGGUCAAGUCAAUCACAUCAUUCUCCUACUGAUGUGAUCCCGUUAAUCAAAUGACAUCUCUUUGUCUAUGGCUAGGAAACAUAACCAUCUUUGAUCAACGAGCUAGUCUAGUAGAGGCAUACUAGUGACACUCUGUUUGUUUAUGUAUUCACACAUGUAUCAUGUUUCCGGUUAAUACAAUUCUAUCAUGAAUAAUAAAGAUUUAUCAUGAUAUAAGGAAAUAAAUAAUAACUUUAUUAUUGCCUCUAGGGCAUAUUUCCUUCAAGGGCCUCUUCCCACUCCUGACGAGGAAUGGGGGUACUGAUGGGACGUGUACCCAGCUGCGAUGUUGUGUCGACAGCAGGCAAGCGCCGAUGGAUCCGCUCUUGCUGUGCGGCGUUGUAACGCCCACGAUGCGGCUAUAUCUCCCACGUGUCGAGGCACGACUUAGAGGCAUAACCGCAUUGUAUGUAUUGUCGCAAGAAGGGUCAUCUUCACACAAUCCCAUGUAAUGAACAAGAAUGGGAUAACGAGAGUUGGCUUACCAUUGCCACUUCACACAAUACAUAAAUUAAUUCAUACAUCAUCCAAAAUCCACACAUAGACCGACUACGGUCAAAACCAAAUGAAAAUAAGAUAACCCCAAAUGCUAGAACCCCGAUCGUCCCAACUGGGCUCCACUACUGAUCAUCCGGAAAUGAAACAUAGUAACGACCACGUUCCUCGUCGAACUCCCACUUGAGCUCGGUUGCGUCACCUGCACUGGUAUAGUCGGCACCUGCAACUGUUUUGGUAGAAUUUGUGAGUCACGAGGACUCAACAAUCUCACACCCGCGAGAUCAAGACUAUUUAAGCUUGUAGGAAAGGAUGGAGUAAUGAGGUGGAGCUGCAGCAAGCACUAAGCAUAUGGUGGCUAACAUACGCAAAUGAGAGCGAGAAGAGAAGCAACGCAACGGUCGCGAAACUAGAAAUGAUCAAGAAGUGAUCCUGAAACUACUUACGUUCAUGCAUAACUCAAACCGUGUUCACUUCCCGGACUCCGCCGAAAAGAGACCAUCACGGCUACACACACAGUUGAUGUAUUUUAAUUAAGUCAAGUGUCGAGUUCUCUACAACCGGACAUUAACAAAUUCCCAUCUGCCACAUAACCGCGGGCACGGCUUUCGAAAGAUAAUACCCUGCAGGGGUGUCCCAACUUAGCCCAUUAUAAGCUCUCACGGUCAACGAAGGAUAAACCUUCUCCCGGGAAGACCCAAUCAGUCUCGGAAUCCCGGUUUACAAGACAUUUCGACAAUGGUAAAACAAGACCAGCAAAGCCGCUCGAAUGUGCCGACAAAUCCCGAUAGGAGCUGCACAUAUCUCGCUCUCAGGGCACACCGGAUGAGCCAGACGUCGGGUUGGCAUAGACCCUGGUUGCCCAAGGGGCGCCGGACAUCGCUCGGUUUGGGCCAGCACUCGAAGGAGCACUGGUCCGGGGGUUUAAAAUAAAGAUGACCCUUGGGUUCGCGAAAACCCAAGGGAAAAAGGCUUAGGUAGGCAACUGUAAAACCAAGGUUGGGCCUUGCUGGAGGAGUUUUAUUCAAGGCGAACUGUCAAGGGGGUCCCAUAAAUCACCCAACCGCGUAAGGAACGCAAACUCAAGGAACAUAAUACCGGUAUGACGAAAACUCGGGCGGCAAGAGUGGAACAAAACACCAGGCAUAAGGCCGGGCCUUCCACCCUUUACCAAAUAUAUAGAUGCAUUGAUUAAAUAAGAGAUAUUGUGAUAAUCCAAAAUAUCCAUGUUCCAACAUGGAACCAACUUCAACUUCACCUGCAACUAGCAACGCUAUAAGAAGGGCUGAGCACAAGCGGUAACUUAGCCAAACAACGAUUUGCUAGGAAAGGAUGGUUAGAAGCUUGACAUGGUAAUAUGGGAGGCAUGAUAUAGCAAGUGGUGGGUAGCGCAGCAUAGCAAUAGAACGAACAACUAGCAAAGCAAAGAUAGAAGUGAUUUCGAGGGUAUGGUCAUCUUGCCUGCAAGGUUCUCAGAGUUGUCGAAAGCUUGAUCCUCGUAAGCGUACUCAACAGGUUCCUCGUUCACGAACUCGUCUCCCGGCUCUACCCAAAGCAAGAACACAAACAAUGGAACCACGAUCAAUCACGGGAGAUGCACAAGGAACAUGAUGCAAUACAUGCAUGAUAUGCGAGAUGUGAUAUGCGAUGCAUAUGCGUGCUCCGGAAGAAAAAGGAUGAACAAGGCAGCAACUUGGCAAACCAAGUAUUCCACUGGAAAGAUGAGAUGAUUUCGGUCAAAAUCGAUAUAAAGAUCACCGGAAACGGAUGCACGGUUUGCAAAUGGCGAGGAAAACAAGAAUGACACGAUUCUGCGAUUAACAACAUAAUAGCACUUAGAAUACAUCAAAUAACUAUACUACCGCACCCCAACAUAGCAACAAAACAUAAGGUAGUGAUCUACAAGAGAUGCUUGCCAAAAGAUGAACACUGAGCUACGGCUAGAUCACACAGUAACAGGCUCAAACAAGCAUGGCAAAAGUGCAAAAGAUAUCAGCUUCACAGACUAGGUGAAAAUACUGAACAUGGCUGAAACAUCAUCAGGUAGCAAUGUUCAGAGCAAGCAAAACACAUGCUACAGGAACUUAUCAUAGCGAAACAAGGCAUGGAAUGAAUCUACUAAAUGCAUAGAACAAAAGUCCUUUACUGACCAUGAGCCAAAAAGGAUCAGAAGAUAUGAUGGCACCCAUGUAAACAUAGCAAGUUUCGUUAACAGGUUUCAGACUUAGCAGAAAACAGAGCAUGGCAUUAACAGAAUUAUGAAGGCAUCUUUGUGAGCUCGAUUCACUUAUCACAAAGCAAUGCAUGACAAAACAAGCAUACCUACAGCAAGAUGGCAUGUUCAUGAAGCUAUCCAUGGCAAGAGCAAGUUCAUAGCAUGUAUGGAUAAACUACAACAACCUUGGAAAAAUUGAAUAUCAUGUUAACAUUCUGCCAAGAAUAGUUUAUAUCAGAAGUAGAGAAAUAUUAGGACAUGCUAUGGCACUCCAUAAUUGCAAACAGGGGCAUGGAUGGAUAAAGCACAACUAUAUCUACAAAACAUUCUUACUGAACAUACCCAAAAGAAGUAUGGAUCUCACUGUAGACACAUGGAUACAUGGCAUCAAAAUAACAACAGGUAAAAGACUUGGCAAAAUCCUAAGUCCCUGAAAACAGAAACAUCACGAAGCCUAGUUUGCAUGCUUGUGAUAGUCACCACAUAGAUCAAACAAAUACAUGGCAUACACCCCUGUAAAGAUGGCAUGACAUAGAUCAAAACACUUGUAGAGCUCAUGCCCAUAAGAUGCACACAUCAAAUGCUACAAAAAUAAUAAAACAUCAAGUUCUGAUAAGUAACAGCAGUAAACAUCAUAUAGCACUCUUGCACCAGAGAUUUGGGCAUCAAGAUGGACUCAAUCGAGCAUGGCACAGUGGAACAAAAUGAAGAGCAUCUCGUGAUGAACAUUUUGAUAUAUCAUGCGCAUGAAUUGGAGCCGUAUACAAGGAGAUAUGCCAUGAUGAACAGAGCAACAUAACGGGAUAUAAUCGGGACUUGGCAGAAAAACGAGGGGAAAACAACCUUGUCAGAUCCAGAUCCGGCGCGAAAUUCGAGGUUCACCGGGGCGCUCGCCGGAGAUGGGGAAGGAGGAGGGCAGCCGGAUCCGGUGAGGUUGCGGGCCGCGGGGUCGNNNNNNNNNNNNNNNNNNNNNNNNNNNNNNNNNNNNNNNNNNNNNNNNNNNNNNNNNNNNNNNNNNNNNNNNNNNNNNNNNNNNNNNNNNNNNNNNNNNNNNNNNNNNNNNNNNNNNNNNNNNNNNNNNNNNNNNNNNNNNNNNNNNNNNNNNNNNNNNNNNNNNNNNNNNNNNNNNNNNNNNNNNNNNNNNNNNNNNNNNNNNNNNNNNNNNNNNNNNNNNNNNNNNNNNNNNNNNNNNNNNNNNNNNNNNNNNNNNNNNNNNNNNNNNNNNNNNNNNNNNNNNNNNNNNNNNNNNNNNNNNNNNNNNNNNNNNNNNNNNNNNNNNNNNNNNNNNNNNNNNNNNNNNNNNNNNNNNNNNNNNNNNNNNNNNNNNNNNNNNNNNNNNNNNNNNNNNNNNNNNNNNNNNNNNNNNNNNNNNNNNNNNNNNNNNNNNNNNNNNNNNNNNNNNNNNNNNNNNNNNNNNNNNNNNNNNNNNNNNNNNNNNNNNNNNNNNNNNNNNCGGCGGGCGGCGACUCGGGCCCCGCGGGCCCUGGCGGCGGAGGAGAGAGAGGGGGCCGGCGGCGGUGACGUGACGAGGCGGGAUUGGCCGGGGGCUACGGCGUGGACGUGUCCGACGGCGGGGUGGACGUGUCCGGCGGCGGGAGGAGGAAGAGGCUAGGGUUAGACCGCGGAUUUGUAGGAGGGUGCACAUAUUUAUAGGUAGAGGGAGCUAGGAGACUCCAAAUGGAGUGCGGUUUUCGCCCACACGAUCAUGAUCGAACGACCGAGAGCAUGGAGGGGACUUAGAUGGGUUAUUGGCUGUUUGGAGGGGUGUUGGGCUGCAACACAUUAAAGGCCUUUGCGGUUACUCGGUUAACCGUUGGAGCAUCAAACGACCUCCAAAUGGAACGAAACUUGACAGGUGGCCUACCGGUGGUGUACCAAGGCCACUUGGCAAACCUCGGUCCAUUCCGAGAAUGUUUAACACCCGCUCACGAAAAGAGACAAGAGGGGUGCGCCGGUGCGUAUGGGAGUGUCGGAUUGCAAAACGAACAACGGGGAAAAUGCUCGGAUGCAUGAGACGAACACGUAUGCAAAUGAGAUGCGCAUGAUGACAUGAUAUGAGAUGCAUGACAUGAACAAAAUGCAAAACGAAAGACAAAACCCGACCACGAAGGGAAUAUCAUAACACAUAGCCGAAAAUGGCAAGAGUUGGAGUUACAAAUAUGGAAAGUUACAUUCGGGGUGUUACAACACUCCACCACUACGAGAGGAUCUCGUCCCGAGAUCUAGGACUGAAAGAACUCCGGAUAUUCGGAACGGAGGUGGUCCUUGCGUCCCAGGUGGCUUCUCGGUCGGAAUGGUGCGACCACUUCACUUUCGGGAAUUUGAUUGACUUGUUGUGAGUCUUGCGCUCAGUUUCUUCAAGAAUAGCAACGGGGUGCUCAUGAUAAGACAGAUCUUCUUGGAGAUCAAUCUCUUCGAAAUUGAUGGUACGCUCAGGAGUCUUGAAGCACUUGCGGAGCUGUGACACGUGGAACACAUUGUGCACGUUCGCGAAGUUGGAGGGAAGCUCAAGUUGAUAGGCGAGGUCGCCUCUUUUGCCAAUGAUCUUGAAAGGACCCACGUAUCUAGGGGCAAGCUUCCCUUUGAUACCGAAGCGACGAGUGCCUUUCAUUGGAGAGACGCGGAGGUAGACAUGGUCUCCGAUCUCGAAAGCCAAGUCACGGUGCUUGCUAUCAUAAUAACUCUUCUGGCGCGAUUGCGCGGCUUUGAGAUUUUCACGGAUGACUUUACACAUUUCUUCAGCCUCUGUGAUUAAGUCAUUGCCAAGAAGUUGGCGUUCACCAGUAUCUGACCAAUUGAGAGGAGUACAGCACUUUCUGCCAUAGAGAAUCUUGAAUGGGGCCUUGCCUGAACUCGCUUGGAAGCUGUUGUUGUAGGAGAACUCGGCAUAUGGAAGACAAUCUUCCCACUUCAUGCCAAAGGAAAUGACACAAGCCCUGAGCAUAUCUUCAAGGAUUUGAUUGACUCGCUCGACUUGGCCACUAGUUUGAGGAUGGAAAGCUAUGCUGAAGCAAAUGUUGGUGCCCAUGGCCUUCUGGAAGGAGUCUCAGAACUUAGAAGUGAAAAUGCUUCCACGAUCUGAAGAUAUCAAUUGUGGAAUGCCGUGCAAGGAGACAAUCCUGGAGGUGUAUAGCUCUGCCAACUGAGCUGCUGUGAUAGAUUCUUUGAUUGGAAGGAAAUGAGCCACUUUUGUAAGCUUGUCGAUGACAACGAAGAUAGCAUCAUUUCCGCGCUUGGACUUAGGAAAUCCAGUCACGAAGUCCAUUUCGAUAUGAUCAAACUUCCAUUCUGGAAUAGUAAGAGGUUGGAGGAGACCAGCUGGUCGUUGGUGUUCUGCUUUCACCCUUCGACAGACAUCACAUUCGUUCACGAAUUGAGCGAUUUCUCGCUUCAUUCGAGUCCACCAAUACGACUGCUUGAGGUCAUGGUACAUCCUCGUACUUCCAGGAUGAAUGCAAAGAAGAGAAUUGUGUGCCUCGUUCAUAAUGACUUUCCUUAGAUCACCUUUAGGAACCACAAUCCGGUCCUCAAAGAAUAAAGUGUCUCUGUCAUCAAUGCGAUAGCACUUGUAUUUGGAAAGACCCUUGUCGAUACCACGUUUCACCUUCUUCACCAUGGUAUCCAGGAGUUGUGCCUCACGAAUUUGAUCUUCCAAAGUAGGAGAGACUAGGAGGUUGGCAAGAAAGCCUUGAGGAACAACUUGGAGAUUCAGCUUGCGGAAAGCUUCGCAAAGGUCCGGUUGGAAUGGCUUGAGAAUUAAACUGUUGCAAUAAGCCUUCCUGCUCAAGGCAUCUGCAAUGACGUUGGCCUUGCCUGGAGUAUAUUCAAUACUCGGAUUGUACUCUUGAAUCAUCUCGACCCAUCGAGUUUGUCUGAGGUUGAGGUUGGGCUGAGUGAAGAUGUACUUGAGACUCUAGUGAUCGGUGAAUAUGCCCACUUUUCUUCCCAACAAGAGAUGUCUCCAUGUUAUUAAUGCAUGGACAACUGCCGCCAACUCAAGAUCGUGAGUGGGGUAGUUCUUUUCGUUGGGCUUCAACUGAUGAGGUAUAGGCCACAACUUUCUUCUCUUGCAUUAACACAGAGCCGAGACCUUGAAGAGAAGCAUCACAGAAAACUUCGAAUGGCUUGGAUUCGUCAGGAGGAGUCAAGACAGGAGCUGUGAUGAGUUUCUCUUUGAGAGUGUUGAAAGCAACGUCACACUCAGGAGUCCAGACAUACUUCACAUGCUUCUGGAGGAGGUUGGAAAGAGGCUUUGCAAUCUUAGAGAAAUUCUCAACGAAUCUUCGGCAAUAGCUUGCAAGACCAAGAAAAUUGCGAAGCUGCUUGACAUUCUGAGGAGGUUCCCAAUUCACAACUGCAGACACCUUCUCGGGAUUAACAGCGAUGCCCUUGGCAGAGAUAAUAUGACCAAGGUAAAGAACUUCAUCAAGCCAAAACUCACAUUUGGAAAACUUCGCAUAGAAAUGAUACUCUCUGAGCUUGUCGAGCACCAAUCGCAAAUGUUUGGCAUGAUCCUUCUUAUUCUUGGAGAAGACCAAGAUAUCAUCGAGAUACACCAGGACGAAUUCAUUGGUAUAGGGGUUAAAGAUGAAAUUCAUCAUUCGAGAGAAUGUUGGAGGAGCAUUGACAAGGCCGAAAGACAUGACAAUAUAUUCAUAAGAACCAAAGCUUGUUCUGAAUGCUGUCUUGGGAAUAUCUUCUUCACGAAUGCGAAUCUGAUGAUAACCCAUUCGAAGGUCAAGCUUGGAGAAUACUUUAGCACCUUUAAGUUGCUCGAAUAGCUCAUUGAUGCUGGGAAGUGGAUACUUGUUCUUAAUUGUCUUCUUGUUCAAUGGACGGUAGUCGACACAAAGUCGGUCCGUGCCAUCCUUCUUUUGGACAAAAAGAACACCACAACCCCACGGAGAUGAAGUCGGUCUGAUCAGACCCAGACGCUCUUGUUCAUCGAGCUGUUUCUUCAAUUCUUUCAGCUCCUUGGGUCCAAGCUUGUAAGGACGCUUGCAAACGGGUUCCGUGCCAGGCUCAAGAUCGAUAACGAACUCAACUGGCCGAUGAGGAGGCAUAGCCGGAAGCUCUUCUGGAAAGACAUCUUGGUACUCACAAACGACUGGAAUUUGAGAAAUAGCAUCCAACUCGCCCUUCUCAUUGAGAGAAAACAACCGAAUGGUUUCAUCACGAGCGGCAUAGAUGAUCACAUCCUCAGAAGAGUGUGUCAAUUGAAUUUCCUUGGCAGCACAAUCAAGUUGAGCCUUGUGCUUAGAAAGCCAGUCCAUCCUGAGAAUUAGAUCAAUAUCCGAGUCACCAAGGACAAUUGGAUAAGACAGAAAUUUAUAAUUGCCCAUCUUGAUAGAGAUAUCCCAAACCAAGGAGCUUGCGUUCAUGAAUUUACCCGGAGAGACAACUGAUAACGGUCUAGGCAAAUCUUGAAAAACCAACUCAUGCUUAGAUGCAAAAGGUCUAGAGAUGAAAGAAAGCGAUGCACUAGUAUCAAAUAAAACUUUUGCAGGAAUAUCAUUAACUGAGAGAUUACCCAUUAUCACAUCAGUAGAUUCCUCCGCUUGAGCUGCAUUCAUCAUGUUCACCUUUGCAGACUUGGGAUUAUGCUUGACCACUGCAUUGCUGGAAGAUCUCACAGGAGGAGGAGGCGGAAGGCGCCUUUGGUUGAAGCACUUGUUAGCAUAGUGAACUUUCUGCUGACACUUGUUGCAAGUCACCUCUGAGAGUGGACGAUGAUAAGGAGCAUUCGACUUUGGAGCUUGAUUCUGAGACUUGUUCUGAUAGACAGGGUUGGGUGGGUGGGAAGAUCCAUGGCCACCUUUGUUCUUCUGCUGGAAAGGCUGACGAAACGGAGGAGGAGGAGGAGGCAACCAGAACUUCUGUUGCUUAGCAGCCACUAGUGAGGAAGAAGAAGACUGAACUGCGUCCCUGACUCUCUUCUUAGAAGCCUCACACUUGAGCUGAGCAGCCUCUUGUUUCAGUGCCAUAUUGUAGAAAUCAUCAUACUUGGUCGGCUCAAAAAGCACGAGAGGUAAUUGCAGAUCUUCUCUGAGGCCACCUCUGAAUUGAUAGAUCAUGCUCUUUUCAUCAGGAACGUCUUGCUUAGCGAAGCGAGCGAGUUUCUGAAACUAAGUAUUGUAUUGAUACACGGACAUGCCGCCUUGCUUGAGAUUGCGGAACUCCUCACGCUUGCUCUCAAAAACACUUUGUGGAAUGUGGUGAGCUUUGAAGUCUCGGCGGAAAUCAUCCCAGGUAAUCACACGACCUCCUCUGGAAUCUUUGUAUUGUUGAUACCACUCGGCAGCUUGAUCCUUGAGUUGAAAAGAAGCGAACUUGAAAAAGUCCUCAGGCCUGACAUUGCUACAUUCAAAAUGCCUGUUGAUGUCCAUGAGCCAAUCAUCGGCGUCUGUGGCCUCGGCACAGUAGCUGAAAGACUUCGGCUGAUUUGCGAGGAACUGGUUGAGGGUAGCGAAGUGAGGCUGAUUGUUGCCUUGGCCUUGAUUUCCUUGAUUGCCUUGCCCUUGGGUGCGCUCUUGCAAGAGUUGCAAAAUCAUCUGAGCAUUGGCGUUGGUGGCUGCCAUGAUAGCUUGCCAUGCCUCCAGAGGCGGAGGUGGUGGCGGAGGGUUCACCUGACUCCCCUCAUCGCGUUCCGGAUUCUGACGCGUUGGCGGAGCCAUCCUGAAGUGGGUGACAUCCAUUAGCAUCUUGAUAGACAAAUAGACAAGUUGAAUCAACGGAUAGAAAUUGCAACAUAUAGUCUUCACAAAAAAACAUUCGAACGAGGAUGAAAGAAUGAAUUCCAUAGUAAAUCAUCACACUUCCAUAAGGUGAGAAGCCACUUUAAAGGGUUGAUGAAUAAAAUAACAAGGUACGACUGGAACAAAUAAGUGGUAAGGAUUACCCAAUCACAAACCAAAUAUCUGCGGGAAGAAAUGCUAAGAGCUACUUGAAUCCCACCUAUAAACUCCCGAAACUUUCUGGUUAUGCAAUCUGGUGUUGGGGAUACAGGGGACACAAAAUAUAUCACCCAAACUAGCAAUCCCUAGAUCCAGCUGUAUCCAUCCGUCAACACAUAACCAAGAAACCUUCGGAAAUCGUGUACCUCAACCUUCGAAAAGCAUCCGUUAUACGAGUUAUGGCAAUACUCCCGAACUCACACCCCAGUACUGGGUGGCGUCGAGGUGAUCUCACUAACAACUGCAUAAAAGAGAUUUUUGAUGUCGGCAAAAAUCAGGUAUUCCAGAACUGCAACGAUAAAAUUGUGACGACAACACCUCGGAGCUCAACUCCCCGGGACACUGCCACAACCCCUAAAUGUCAGGAGGCACCAAGAACAAUGUUCUCGUCACAAAACCAUCGGAACGAUUCCAAGAUACCCACGUGAUCCUAAAUUUUUUUUAGUGAAAUUUGAGGAGAGGAGAGUCAAAACUUCUACGUCAGGAGACCUCACCAGAGCGACGAAGGGACUGAGGAGUAAAAGAAUCCUACUCUCCGAUAUAUAUAAUCCUAAGACUCAAAACAUUUUUUUCUAGACUCAACAACGCCAGCGAUUCGAUCAAGCAGGGGGCUCCUAAGUCGGGGAUGGCUCUGAUUACCAACUUGUAACGCCCACGAUGCGGCUAUAUCUCCCACGUGUCGAGGCACGACUUAGAGGCAUAACCGCAUUGUAGGUAUUGCCGCAAGAAGGGUCAUCUUCACACAAUCCCAUGUAAUGAACAAGAAUGGGAUAACGAGAGUUGGCUUACAAUCGCCACUUCACACAAUACAUAAAUUAAUUCAUAGAUCAUCCAAAAUCCACACAUAGACCGACUACGGUCAAAACCAAAUGAAAAUAAGAUAACCCCAAAUGCUAGAUCCCCGAUCGUCCCAACUGGGCUCCACUACUGAUCAUCCGGAAACGAAACAUAGUAACGACCACAUUCCUCGUUGAACUCCCACUUGAGCUCGGUUGCGUCACCUGCACUGGUAUCGUCGGCACCUGCAACUGUUUUGGUAGAAUCUGUGAGUCACAAGGACUCAACAAUCUCACACCUGCGAGAUCAAGACUAUUUAAGCUUGUAGGAAAGGAUGGAGUAAUGAGGUGGAGCUGCAGCAAGCACUAAGUAUAUGGUGGCUAACAUACGCAAAUGAGAGCGAGAAGAGAAGCAACGCAACGGUCGCGAAACUAGAAAUGAUCAAGAAGUGAUCCUGAAACUACUUACGUUCAUGCAUAACUCAAACCGUGUUCACUUCCCGGACUCCGCCGAAAAGAGACCAUCACGGCUACACACACAUUUGAUGUAUUUUAAUUAAGUCAAGUGUCGAGUUCUCUACAACCGGACAUUAACAAAUUCCCAUCUGCCACAUAACCGCGGGCACGGCUUUCGAAAGAUAAUACCCUGCAGGGGUGUCCAAACUUAGCCCAUUAUAAGCUCUCACGGUCAACAAAGGAUAAACCUUCUCCCGGGAAGACCCGAUCAGUCUCGGAAUCCCGGUUUACAAGACAUUUCGACAAUGGUAAAACAAGACCACAAAGCCGCCCGAAUGUGCCGACAAAUCCCGAUAGGAGCUGCACAUAUCUCGUUCUCAGGGCACACCGGAUGAGCCAGACGUCGGGUUGGCAUAGACCCUGGUUGCCCAGGGGGCGCCGGACAUCGCUCGGUUUGGGCCAGCACUCGAAGCAGCACUGGUCCGGGGGUUUAAAAUAAAGAUGACCCUCGGGCUCGCGAAAACCCAAGGGAAAAAGGCUUAGGUAGGCAACUGUAAAACCAAGGUUGGGCCUUGCUGGAGGAGUUUUAUUCAAGGCGAACUGUCAAGGGGGUCCCAUAAAUCACCCAACCGCGUAAGGAGCGCAAACUCAAGGAACAUAAUACCGGUAUGACGGAAACUAGGGCGGCAAGAGUGGAACAAAACACCAGGCAUAAGGCCGAGCCUUCCACCCUUUACCAAAUAUAUAGAUGCAUUAAUUAAAUAAGAGAUAUUGUGAUAAUCCAAAAUAUCCAUGUUCCAACAUGGAACCAACUUCAACUUCACCUGCAACUAGCAACGCUAUAAGAAGGGCUGAGCACAAGCGGUAACUUAGCCAAACAACGGUUUGCUAGGAAAGGAUGGUUAGAGGCUUGACAUGGUAAUAUGGGAGGCAUGAUAUAGCAAGUGGUGGGUAGCGCAACAUAGCAAUAGAACGAACAACUAGCAAAGCAAAGAUAGAAGUGAUUUCGAGGGUAUGGUCAUCUUGCCUGCAAGGUUCUCAGAGUUGUCGAAAGCUUGAUCCUCGUAAGCGUACUCAACAGGUUCCUCAUUCACGAACUCGUCUCCCGGCUCUACCCAAAGCAAGAACACAAACAAUGGAACCACAAUCAAUCAUGAGAGAUGCACAAGCAACAUGAUGCAAUACAUGCAUGAUAUGCGAGAUGUGAUAUGCGAUGCAUAUGCGUGCUCCGGAAGAAAAAGGAUGAACAAGGCAGCAACUUGGCAAACCAAGUAUUCCACUGGAAAGGUGAGAUGAUUUCGGUCGAAAUCGAUGUAAAGAUCACCGGAAACGGAUGCACAGUUUGCAAAUGGCGAGCAAAACAAGAAUGACACGAUUCUUCGAUUAACAGCAUGAUAGCGCUUAGAAUACAUCAAGUAACUAUACUACAGCACCCCAACAUAGCAACAAAGCAUAUGGCAGUGAUCUACAAGAGAUGCUUGCCAAAAUAUGAACACUGAGCUACGGCUAGAUCACAAAAUAAUAGGCUCAAACAAGCAUGGCAAAAGUGCAAAAGAUAUCAGCUUCACAGACUUGGUGAAAAUACUGAACAUGGCUGAAACAGCAUCAGGUAGCAAUGUUCAGAGCAAGCAAAAAACAUGCUACAGGAACUUAUCAUAGCGAAACAAGGCAUGGCAUGAAUCUUCUAAAUGCAUAGAACAAAAGUCCCUUACUGACCAUGAGCCAAAAAGGAUCAGAAGAUAUGAUGGCACCCAUGUAAACAUAGCAAGUUUCGUUAACAGGUUUCAGACUUGGCAGAAAACAGAGCAUGUCAUUAACAGAAUUAUGAAGGCAUCUUUGUGAGCUCGAUUCACUCAUCACAAAGCAAUGCAUGACAAAACAAGCAUACCUACAGAAAGAUGGCAUGUUCAUGAAGCUAUCCAUGGCAAGAGCAAGUUCAUAGCAUGUAUGGAUCAACUACAACAAUCUUGGCAAAAUUGAAUAUCAUGUUAACAUUCUGCCAAGAAUAUUUUAUAUCAAAAGUAGAGCAAGAUUAAGACAUGCUAUGACACUCUAUAAUUGCAAACAGGGGCAUGGAUGGAUAAAGCACAACUAUAUCUACAAAACAUUCUUACUGAACAUACCCAAAAGAAGCAUGGAUCUCACUGUAGACACAUGGAUACAUGGCAUCAAAAUAACAGCAGGUAAAAGAAGGGGUUCCGGACACCCCCGGCAAACUAUAUGGGCCUAAUGGGCCAAGAGGGGAAACGCAGCAGCCAGCAGGGGUUCUGCGCCCCCCAUAUGGGUCUCCCCCUUCCUUCCCUCCUUCCUCCUCUCUCAUUUCCCCUCCGGUGAAAAAGGAAAGGGGGGGCCGAAUUAGACAAGGCCCCCAAGUAGGAUUCCUCCUACUUGGGGCGCCCCAUGGCUGUCCCCCUCCCCCUCCCACCUAUAUAAAUGUGGGGAGGGGGCGCCUAGAACACAGACCAACAAUUGUUAGCCGUGUGCGGUUCCCCCCUCCAUAGUUUACGCCUCCGGUCAUAUUCUCGUAGUGCUUAGGCGAAGCCCUGCGCGGAUCACUUCACCAUCACCGUCACCAUGCCGUCAUGCUGAGGGAACUCAUCUUCCUCGACACCUUUGCUGGAUCAAGAGUUCGAGGGACGUCAUCGAGCUGAACAUGUGCAGAACUCGGAGGUGCCAUACAUUCGGUGCUUGAUCGGUCGGAACGAGAUGAAGUUCGACUACAUCAACCGCGUUGUCAAACGCUUCCGCUUUCGGUCUAUGAGGGUACGUGGACACACUCUCCCCCUCUCGUUGCUAUGCAUGUCCUAGAUAGAUCUUGCGUGAGCGUAGAUUUUUUUGAAAUUGCAUGCUACAUUUCCCAACAGUGUCAUCCGAGCCAGGUCUAUGCGUAGAUGAUAUGCACGAGUGGAACACAAAGAGUUGUGGGCCGUGAUCAUCAUACUGCUUACCACCAAUGUCUUAUUUUGAUUGGGCGGUACUUGUUGGAUGAAGCCGCCCGGACCAACCUUACAUGACCACGUUCAUGAGACCGGUUCCGCCGACAGACAUGCAACUAGUUUUGCAUAAAGGUGGCUGGCGGGUGUUUGUUUCUCCAACUUUAGUUGAAUCGAAUUUGACUGCAGCCGGUCCUUGUUGAAGGUUAAAACAACAAACUUGAUAAAUCACCAUUGUGGUUUUGAUGUGUAGGUAAGAACGGUUCUUACUAGAAGCCCGUAACAGCCACGUAAAAUUUGCAACAACAAAGUAGAGGACGUCUAACUUGUUUUUGCAGGGCAUGUUGUGAUGUGAUAUGGUCAAGACAUGAUGUGAUAUACGUUGUUGUAUGAGAUGAUCAUGUUUUGUAAAAGUUAUUGGCAACUGGCAGGAGCCUUAUGGUUUUCGCUUUAUUGUAUGAAAUGCAAAUGCCAUGUAAUUGCUUUAAUUUAUCACUAUGCGUUAGCGAUAGUUGUAGGAGCAAUAGUUGGCGAGACGACUGUCAGUGUCAAAACCGGCAGAUCUCGGGUAGGGGGUCCCGAACUGUGCAUCUUAGGAUAGAAGGUAACAGGAAACAGGGACAUGAUGUUUACCCAGGUUCGGGCCCUCUUAAUGGAGGUAAUACCCUACUUCCUGCUUGAUUGACUUUGAUGAGUAUAGGGGUUACAAGAGUUAAUCUACCUCGAGAUCGUGAUGGCCAAACCCUAUAUGUCUAGCCUGUAUGAUUAUGAUCUCCCCGUACGGACUAAACCCUCUGUUUUAUAUAGACACCGGAGGGUGCUAGGGUUGUACAGAGUCAGUUCACAGAGAAAGGAAUCUUCAUAUCCGAACGCCAAGCUUGCCUUCCACGCCAAGGAGAGUCCCAUUCGGACACGGGGAAGCCUUCUAUCUUGUACCUUCUUGGCCCACCAGUCCGACCCACAUUACAUAGCCCGGACGCCCAGGGACCCCCUAAUCCAGGACUCCCUCAGUAGCCCCUGGACCAGGCUUCAAUGACGAUGUGUCCGGCACACGCAGAUUAUCUUCGGCAUUGCAAGGCGGGUUCCUCCUCCGAACACUUCAAAGCUGUUGAUUAACAAGAACUAUAUCCGACUCUGUUUAACAGUUACAACCCCCUACCGCAAGGGCAUAAUACUUAAUCAAAGAACAUGUUGUAUCUUUACUGACAGUUUUGCUGGUGGGACGUUACGUCUGACCACUUCAUUAUUUCGAAUCGUUUUUUGACCUCCCGCUUCGCGUUUCGAGACGCAGCCUUCGGUGACACGUCUUGUCAAAGCAGAGAUCGUGUCCCCUCAUUACGGGAUUCUCAUCAAUAUGGGCUUGGGAAAUCCAACCGUGCCGUUCGCACGACCCCUUGGGAAUAGGCGAGCUUUAAGGCUCGUGGGGGACGCUUGAUAUCUACUGCCUUUAUAAGGAGAUAAGGAUCCACCUUUUUACCCCACGCCUUCUCCCUCCUCAGCCUAUUCACCCUCGAGCUCCAGCGCCCUGCUACCUCUUGAGCAUGUGUUGGUUUUUCCCUUGAAGAGGAAAGGGUGAUGCAACAAAGUAGCGUAAGUAUUUCCCUCAGUUUUUGAGAACCAAGGUAUCAAUCCAGUAGGAGGCCACACGCAAGUCCCUUGUACCUACACAAACAAAUAAGAACCUUGCAACCAACGCGAUAAAGGGGUUGUCAAUCUCUUCACGGCCACUUGCAAAAGUGAGAUCUGAUAGAGAUGAUAAGAUAAUAUUUUUGGUAUUUUUAUGAUAAAGAUUGAAAAGUAAAGAUUGCAAAAUAAACGGCGCCAUAAAUAGCUCGUUGACGGGAGAUUAAUAUGAUGGAAAAUAGACCCCGGGGCCAUAGGUUUCACUAGUGGCUUCUCUCAAGAUAGCAUAAGUAUUACGGUGGGUGAACAAAUUACUGUCGAGCAAUUGAUAGAAAAGUGCAUAAUUAUGAGAAUAUCUAGGCAUGAUCAUGUAUACAAGCAUCACGUCCGUGACAAGUAGACUGACUCCUACCUGCAUCUACUACUAUUACUCCACACAUCGACCGCUAUCCAGCAUGCAUAUAGAGUAUUAAGUUCAUAAGAACAGAGUAACGCAUUAGGUAAGAUGACAUGAUGUAGAGGGAUAAACUCAAGCAAUAUGAUAUAAACCCCAUCUUUUUAUCCUUGAUGGAAACAAUACAAUACGUGUCAUUUCCCCUACUGUCACUGGGAUCGAGCACCGCAUGAUUGAACCCAAAGCUAAGCACUUCUCCCAUGGCAAGAAAGAUCAAUCUAGUAGGCCAAAACAAACUGAUAAUUCGAAGAGACUUGCAAAGAUAACCAUGAAGGAAAUAUGCCCUAGAGGCAAUAAUAAAGUUAUUAUUUAUUUCCUUAUUUCAUGAUAAAUGUUUAUUAUUCAUGCUAGAAUGGUAUUAACCGGAAACAUAAUACAUGUGUGAAUACAUAGACAAAAUAGUGUCACUAGUAUUCCUCUACUUGACUAGCUUGUUAAUCAAAGAUGGUUAAGUUUCCUAACCAUAGACAUGAGUUGUCAUUUGAUUAAUAGGAUCACAUCAUUAGGAGAAUGAUGUGAUUGACUUGACCCAUUCCGCUAGCUUACCACUUGAUCGUUUAGUAUGUUGCUAUUGCUUUCUUCAUGACUUAUACGUGUUCCUAUGACUAUGAGAUUAUGCAACUCCCAUUUAACGGAGGAACACUUUGUGUGCUACCAAACAUCACAACGUAACUGGGUGAUUAUAAAGGUGCUCUACAGGUGUCUCCGAAGGUACUUGUUGAGUUGGCGUAUUUCGAGAUUAGGAUUUGUCACUCCGAUCGUCGGAGAGGUAUCUUUGGGCCCACUCGGUAAUACACAUCAUGUCGGUGUGGAACGACACCUAUGGGAUCACAAGAAUCCCUACUAUGGUUGCCGGGGCGCAGGGUUGCGAGAAGAGCAGGAUUAGUAACCAGCAUAAGGAUCGUUUACCCAGGUUCGGGCCGCGAAGAUGCGUAAAACCCUAGUCCUGCUUUCGUGGGUGUAUUUCAGAGAGUUCUUGAGCUCUCGAACUAGCUAUGGUGAGUGUGUGGUUCGAAAGAGCCGAAUCCUUCUCCAGUAUGCCAUGGGCCUCCUUUUAUAGUCAAAAGGGGCUGCCACAGUGGCAUACAGGAGGUGGAAAGGCGUACAAUAUUGCGAGCUUAUCGCUUGUAUUACAAGACAAGACGCAUUUAAUGCGCCGCCGAGGUGUCCCCUAGCUUUAUCGGGGACGGGGGCGAGGCCCGUCCCGUCCGUCGUCGCUCUUCCUCGCUUCGACACACGCCCUGGCCAGCGAUCCGUGCGGCGCCAUGUAGGCAUGUAGGCAGCUGAGGUGGCGCGGUGGUGGAGUCUCCACGAAGAUCUGCAUGCCGCCAUGCAGGCGCUUUGAUGAGUUGGCCCGGGAGCUGCAUGUUGCCACGCAGGUGCCUGCUCAGCUGGUUGAGCUGGUAGCUGCAUGCGAACGGCGGCGGAGACUUGGUUGGUGCGGGCCUGGCGGUGGCCCUGCUGACAUCCUUGGCGAGGGCCUUGCCGGGUGGCCCGGCAAGGGUCUUGCCGUGGAGCGUUGUCGUCCCCGGCAAGGAUCUUGCCGGGGGUCUGGUGGCCUUCCUCGACAAGGAUCUUGCCGAAGAUCGUCGUCUUCUGAUCCUCAUCUGAUCUUGAAUGUUCCUUGUCUUCACAAAGAUCUGCAUGCCACCAUGGAGGUGCCUCCCGAGCCCUGGCCCAACGUGGUCGACGGUGUUGGGGACGUGGGCUCAAGGGUGGCUCGCUCCGUUGGUGUUUGGGCGUGCUGCCCCGGCAAGGGUCUUGCCGAGGCUCCUGAGGCAGUCCCCGGCAAGGGUCUUGCCGGGGGAAAACUGCUCCGCCCCUCUGCUCUUUGAGGUCUUGGUCUUGGCGUUGCUCUGGCUGCCUCGGGCUUCAGUUUUACCUCGGUUCACCUCCCCUGCUCUGCUUGGUGUGGCCGUGGGCGCGGCUCCGACUGUCCGUGCACAGGUAAAGGGGUACAAAGUUGCGCCCCUUCUUUUGUACACCGACUGGAGCCCCCGGGCCUGGGCCACACAUAAGCGCAACACGUUGUUGGGCCAGGCCCAAAAUGGUGCGCGGGCAGGCGGGGUGGUUUUUACCGCGGUAAAACUUUUCGCGCGCUACGCUUCCCACGACCCGCGCGUGGCGUGGCGUGGCAUGGAGGGGUGUGCGUGACGUGGGCGGCAUGCGUGGGGCGGUUCCCGCACGCAUGCAUCACAUCGCAGUAAAUGGGCAGCGCGACCCGCGGCUUCCCCAUAAAAAGGGAUAACCGCGGGCGCACUGUUCCUUUACCGUUCAUGCAAUCCCAAUCUCGGAAGCCCCCGCUCGUCUUCCUCUUCUUCUCCAAGCUUCGCUCUUGCUCACCGCCGUUGCGUUCCUGCCGCCCUCUGUUUUGCCUCCCUCCCCAGCCGCCAUGGCGCUGAAAUCCGCCAAGGGCAAGGGUGUGGCUAAGGAUGCCGGAACGGUGGAGCCGCCGGAGAGUGCGCUGGCGGUGCAGCGGACGCAGUCCGCCUUCUUCCCCUCGACAGUUGACGUGCUCGAGCUUCGGGAAGCCUUCAGGCCCCUGUGGGGGGUGAAGACGGGGGGAGAAAAGUUGGGGCAUCCAGCCAUGCGCGUCAUCCCCGCCAACUGCGCCGAGGCCGCCCCAAAUCGGUACCCCUUCUUUGUCGACUAUUUUUCCUGCGGGCUUUGUCCUCCCUUCUCCGAUUUGUUUAGCGACAUCAUGCACACCUUUGGCUUCCGCCUCUUGGAUUUUACCCCAAAUGCGGUGGCGUGCAUGGCCCUCUUCGCACACCUCUACGAAGGCUUCGCCGGGGUGCACCCCAACACGGCGCUCUUUCGCCAUUACUUCUCCCCUCGGAUCCAACCAUGGGGCGCCAUCUCCGGUUGCAUCACCUGGAUCUCGAGGUCCAAGGGGCGUAUCCGGAGGGCGCUAUGAAGGAGAGGUGGGAAGAAUGGCGGGGCCGGUGGUGCUGGAUCGAAGAGAAGGACCCGCCGUCGUUUUGCGAAGUUCGCCGGGCGCCGCCGGUCCGCAGAAGCGAUUGGAGCGACGUCGACGCCGACGACGAGAAGCUCAUGGUCGCCACCACCAGGAUCCUUCGGCUCACCGAGGCCGGGCUCACCCUGGAGAUGAUCGGGGCAGAUUUCAUCCGCCGCCGGAUCGCUCCACUGCACAACAAGGGGAGGCCAGCCUGGCUCUUCACGAACCCCGCCGACAUCAUGCGGCUUCGCCCCGGCCUCGACCACAACUUCACGGUAAUGGGGCACACCCACUUCUGCGAGCGGCUCUUCCAGCUCGAUGUGGGACGUGAUGGCGAGGUCGAACGGACCGGCAAGGCCGUGAGGGCCGCCGCGAAGGCCGGCAAGGUCUUCAAGGGGCCUUUGUUCAAGCCGCCGGCGGGGGUGGUCCCGCUGUGCAAUAACUCGCGCCGGACCGAGAUCAUCGCCAUGAUGCCGGACUGCAAUGCACAUGGCCCUGACCCGAGCUGGAAGGAGCCGGAGGACGUCGAGGUGCAGCAGUUUUUUGACACUCUGCACGAGGUGUACAUCAACGCCGACGCCGAGCGGUUGCUCGUCCAGGACACCACCCAGGCGGUACUGGACUACAUCGCCACCAGGGCGAGGGAAGCGCAGCUUGCCGAGGAGGACGGCAGCGCUGGUGGUGUGGAGGACAAGGCCACGACGGCCGCGGAGGAGGAGGAGCUCGCCCGAUGGGCGGCCGCCGCCGGGGAAGCCAGCAGCGCCGGCACCGAGGCUCCUCGGGUUGAGGAAGCGGCCGACGAGUCACGAGAGGAGGAAGCCGGGGCUAUUGACCCUCCGGCCACGGGGAGAGGGCCUGCGGCGGGCCACUUCCGGCGAGCCGGUGCGGCCCGUCAGGGCCGCGCGGCGGCCAAAUUCCCCGGAGGAGUCCGCGCGUCAGACGAGAGCCGCGACAACGAAGAAGGUGGUGAAGGCCGCGACAACGAGGAAGAAGGCAUCUUCUUCUUCUUCGUCCAAGCGCACGCAGACUCCGCCCUCCUCCCCUCCUCAGGCGGAUGCCGAUGCGGGGGUCACUUUCGACUUCGGAUCCCUCAGCCUGAGGAGGAAGAGGAAAACAUCAGAGGAGGAGGUGGACGACGAGUAAGUAUCUGGCUUCUUCCCGUCAUCUCUGUCUCCUCAAUCUGUGUCGCUUGUCUUGACUUGUUUUCAUCUUUGCAGGGAUGCGGAGACGCUGGCCCAAAGGGUGAAGAGGGCCAAGACCUCGGCGGGUGGCCAGCCCCCGGCUGGUACUUCAAGGGCGCCACUGGUGGUGCUGAGCAGCCCGGACAGCAGCCCCCGGCACAGCCCCCAGCGUAAGUUCAUUAUCCUCCCCUCGUCGACAUGUGUCAGGGGUAUGAUACUUUGGUGCUGACCUUGCCGGGUAUGCAGGAGAAGAGCGGCAGCAGGAGGAGCCGCAGAGGGCUACUCCCAACACGUUGCCCCCAUCGACCCCGCCGCCCCAAGGGGCGUCCCCGGCAAGGGCGCCAAGCACCGAGCCUAUGCACAUGGAGGAGGAGGAGGAGAACUUGGGUGCCGGCGGCUUUGCCUCGGCACCAAAUGUUGGUAGGGAGGGGACUUCUUCUUCCCAGCCUGGGACUGGCGCUGGUAAGUCGCUCGCCUUGCGUCCCUGUUCCUUUUUCUUUCUGGCUCUUGGCCUCGCCUCACUUCCUUCUUUGGCGUCCAGAUUCCUCCUCGGUGAACCCAGAGGACGUGGAUGCCGUCAUUGAGAACGUCGCCAAGGUCGCCGAGGCGGAUGCCGAGAAGAUCGCCGCCGAGGAGGCCACCAAAGGUGCUGCGGAGGACGCCGCCAAGGGGUCUGCCGGGGAGGCCGGCAGGGCCGCCGCUGAGGAGGCCGACAAGGGGCCUGCUGGGGAGGCCGGCAGGGCCGCCGCCGAGGAGGAGGAGGAGGUGGCUGAUGACCGGCCUUCCUCCUCCGCUGCUUCCGGCUCCGGCAAGUACCUGAGGGUGAGCGACGACUUGUUCGUUCACCUUCCAGGCGCGUCGAGCACCAGGACACCCGUUGAGGGAGAGGUGUUCGACGACGAAGUGCUUGCCGCCGCCGGGCUUGAGGUCGUGGACGAGCCGAGCGUCGGUGGCGACGGCUCCCAGGAAGAGCGGCUCCUCCACGCCAUGGGCGCCAGCUUCCGAAAGCUCCAGGUGCUCCACCGCGCCCGCCUAGACAAGGCUAAGUCCAGGACGGCGGUGGUGGAGAAGGUGGAGGCGGACCUCCAGAAGCACGUUGCCGAGACACAGGACUGGUUCCGCCAGGCUCACGAGGAGCUCAAGGCCGCCCAGGGCGAGCUGGCCAAGCGCGACGUGGAGCUCACCAUGAAGCUGGCCGACAUCGAGAAGGCCCAGGAGACGACGGAGGGCUUGGCCGCGGCGGUCGAGGCCGCCUGGACUCAGCACCAGGCCGCACUGAACUCCCAGGAGGAGGACCUCGCUGCGCGCGAGGAGAAGCUUGCCGCCACGCUUCGAGGAAAGGAUCAAGAGGUGGGGAAGCUUGUCUUGCAGCGGACUCGUGAGCUGGAGCAGUGGCACCAGGAGGCGCUCGAUGCCCAGGCCCUGGUCCACGCUGGCAAGGUGAAGGAGCUGGAGGCGGAGCGGGACGAGCUGAAGGAGCAGGCCCUGAAGCUGUCCCAGGAGAAGGACACGCUCAACGGCGCCCUGACGGAGGCGCAGGAUGCGGCCACCAGCAAGGCCGGGGAGCUCUCCGAGGCCAACAAGUCCAUCAAGGACCUCACGCUGAAGUUGGAGGGCCUUGAGGGGAUGCUCACGGAGGCCAAAGCCCGGGAGGGGGCCCUGGCCAAGGAGCUGGAGACCGAGAAGCAACUUCAGAAGAACGAGGCCGCCGAGCAUAAGGAUUUCAAGGAGGGCGUGAACCGCUGGAUCGGCCGCCUCGAGGACGUUGCCGGCAGGAUCACCGUGCAGCUGGCUACCAUGGGGAUGCCAAGCGUGAGGUACGCCCCAGAGUGCAACGGGACCACCAACGCCAAGCUGACCUUGUUCUUCGAGUGCGUUCUCGGGGCUCUGGAGCAGCUUCACGCCAACCGAGCGGCCUCGCCGGCCGCCGAGGCCCGGAGGCUUUGCCAGGGCGCCAUGACCAAGGUUCUCACCAAGGUGGCUCACUGGUACCCCAACCUCGACUUCGACGCCGCGCUGGAGAGCUUGCCGCAGGAUACCGACCUCGCGCCGCUCAGGGAGCGCAUCAAGCCCAUCAUCAGCCGUGUCGGCGGAAUUCUGAGGGUGGAGGGCCAGCGCCGAGAUUAGGCACCCCGUUUCUUUUUGUUGCUGCAAGUUCACAACCAAGACAAUUUUCAUCUUUAGUUAGAACUGCGGCAACUAGUGAUGUAAUAUAACUUCUGCAGCACUUUUGACAUUAUGCAUGUUAUUUUCCUGUUCGAUUCUCCUUUGUACGUCCACCCUACAUUAACUAGGUAGGUUUGCCGGCGUGUAAACCCAGGGCGGCGUCUUGGGGAUGGAUCCCCAUUGGCCAGCCGGGUGUGCUUGCUGCCGGGUGAACCACCUUACCGCCCUUAGCGCGGCCGCCCGAACUGUCGAGCUUGACUCGAGUCAGAGUCGGGAGCGUUGCCAAGUGCGGAAGGAUGCUCCGCCACUCUCGACGCGGCCGCUUUGAGCUGUUGAGCGGACUCGAAACAGAACAAGGGCGUUGCCAAUCGCGGGAGGGCCCCUUUGCGUGCAGGUUUUCCAUACAUAGGCAAGAUCUCCGAGGACGAUAACCUUAUGUAUAAAAGGAAAUAACUCAGGGCUCUGAAUGACUUAGCUUUUCUGUCGCCGCGCUAACGUCCUUCACGUUCGCAGGCGGCGCUCUUUUCUCCUGGCCGUCUCCUUCUUGGGAGCCAUGGUGAUGAAGAAACGCUAGGCCAGCUACUAGACCGGAUUCUCACAAUUGCGCCCCCUACCUGGCGCGCCAAAGAUGUCGGUGUGGAACGACACCUAUGGGAUCACAAGAAUCCCUACUACGGUUGCCGGGGCGCAGGGUUGCGAGAAGAGCAGGAUUAGUAACCAGCACAUAGAUCGUUCAGCCAGGUUCAGGCCGCGAAGAUGCGUAAAACCCUAGUCCUGCUUUGGUGGGUGUAUUUUAGAGAGUUCUUGAGCUCUCGAACUAGCUAUGGUGAGUGCGUGGUUUGAAAGAGCCGAAUCCUUCUCCAGUAUGCCAUGGGCCUCCUUUUAUAGUCGAAAGGAGCUGCCACAGUGGCAUAUAGGAGGUGGAAAGGCAUACAGUAUUGCGAGCUUAUCGCUCGUAUUACAGGACAAGACGCAUUUAAUGCGCCGCUGAGGUGUCCCCUAGCUUUAUCGGGGACGGGGGCGAGGCCUGUCCCGUCCGUCGCCGCUCUUCCUCGCUUCGACACGCGCCCUGGCCAGCGAUGCGUGCGGCGCCAUGUAGGCACGUAGGCAGCUGAGGUGGCGCGGUGGUGGAGUCUCCAUGAAGAUAUCUGCAUGCCGCCACGCAGGCGCUUUGAUGAGUUGGCCCGGGAGCUGCAUGUUGCCACGCAGGUGCCUGCUCAGCUGGUUGAGCUGGCAGCUGCAUGCGAACGGCGGCGGAGACUUGGUUGGUGCGGGCCUGGCAGUGGCCCUGCUGGCGUCCUUGGCGAGGGCCUUGCCGUGUGGCCCGGCAAGGGUCUUGCUGUGGCGCGUUGUCGUCCCUGGCAAGGAUCUUGCCGGGGGUCUGGUGGCCUUCCUCGGCAAGGAUCUUGCCGAAGAUCGUCAUCUUCUGAUCCUCAUAUGAUCUUGAAUGUUCCUUGUCUUCACAAAGAUCUGCAUGCCACCAUGGAGGUGCCUCCUGAGCCCUGGCCCAACGUGGUCGACGGUGUUGGGGACGUGGGCUCAAGGGUGGCUCGCUCCGUUGGUGUUUGGGCGUGCUGCCGCGGCAAGGGUCUUGCCGGGGCUGCUGAGGCCAUCCCCGGCAAGGGUCUUGCCGGGGGAAAACUGCUCCGCCCCUCUGCUCUUUAUGGUCUUGGUCUUGGCGUUGCUCUGGCUGCCUCGGGCUUCGGUUUUACCUCGGUUCACCUCCCCUGCUUUGCUUGGUGUGGCCAUGGGCGCGGCUCCGACUAUCCGUGCACAGGUAAAGGGGUACAAAGGUGCGUCCCUUCUUUUGUACACCGACACAUCACUAUAAGCCUUGCAAGCAUUGUAACUAAUGAGUUAGUUGCGGGAUGAUGUAUUACGGAAUGAGUAAAGAGACUUGCCGGUAACGAGAUUGAACUCGGUAUUGAGAUACCGAAGAUCGAAUCUCAGGCAAGUAACAUACCGAUGACAAAGGGAACAACGUAUGUUGUUAUGCGGUUUGAUCGAUAAAGAUCUUCGUAGAAUAUGUAGGAGCCAAUAUGAGCAUCCAGGUUCCGCUAUUGGUUAUUGACCGGAGACGUGUCUCGGUCAUGUCUUCAUAGUUCUCGAACCCGUAGGGUCCGCACGCUUAACGUUCAGUGACGAUUUGUAUUAUGAGUUUAUGUGUUUUGAUGUACCGAAGGUAGUUCGGAGUCCCGGAUGAGAUCGGGGACAUGACGAGGAGUCUCGAAAUGGUCGAGACGUAAAGAUCGAUAUAUUGGACGACUAUAUUCGGACAUCAGAAAGGUUCCGAGUGAUUCGGAUAUUUUUCGGAGUACCGGAGAGUUACGGGAAUUCACCGGGGAGUAUAUGGGCCUUAUUGGGCUUUAGGGGAAAGAGAGAGGGGAGGCUGCGCCCCCCCCAAUGCUUAGUCUGAAUUGGACUAGGGGGAGGGGCGGCGCCCCCUCCUUCCUUCUCUUCUCUUUUCCCUUUCCUUCUCUCCUACUCCUACUACUUGGAAGGGCUCCUAGUUCUACUAGGAAAGGGGGAAUCCUACUCCCGGUGGGAGUAGGACUCCCCUAGGGCACGCCAUAGAGAGGGCCGGCCCUCCCCCUCCACCACUCCUUUAUAUACGGGGAGGGGGCACCCCUUGGAGACACAACAAUUGAUCAUUGAUCUCUUAGCCGUGUGCGGUGCCCCCCUCCACCAUAAUCCACCUCGAUCAUAUCGUAGCGGCGCUUAGGCGAAGCCCUGCGUCGGUAGCAUCAUCAUCACCAUCAUCACGCCGUCGUGCUGACGGAACUCUCCCUCAAAGCUCUGCUGGAUCGGAAUUCGUGGGACGUCAUCGAGCUGAACGUGUGCUGAACUCGGAGGUGCCAUGCGUUCGGUACUUGGAUCGGUCGGAUCGCGAAGACGUACGACUACAUCAACCGCGUUGUGAUAACGCUUCCACUUUCGGUCUACGAGGGUACGUGGACACACUCUCCCUUCUCGUUGCUAUGCAUCACCAUGAUCCUGUGUGUGCGUAGGAAUUUUUUUGAAAUUACUACAUUCCCGAACAGUGGCAUCCGAGCCAGGUUUAUGCAUAGAUGUUAUAUGCACGAGUAGAACACAAGUGAGUUGUGGGCGAUACAAGUCAUACUGCUUACCAGCAUGUCAUACUUUGGUCCGGCGGUAUUUUUGGAUGAAGCGGCCGACAUUACGCGUACGCUUACGCGAGACUGGUUUUACCGCCGUGCUUUGCACACAGGUGACUAGCGGGUGUCAGUUUCUCCAACUUUAGUUGAACCGAGUGUGGCUACGCCCGGUCCUUGUGAAGGUUAAAACAACACUAACUUGACAAACUAUCAUUGUGGUUUUGAUGCGUAGAUAAGAACGGUUCUUGCUCAGCUCGUAGCAGCCACGUAAAACUUGCAACAACAAAGUAGAGGACGUCUAACUUGUUUUUGCAGGGCAUGUUGUGAUGUGGUAUGGUCAAGACAUGAUGCUAUAUUUAUUGUAUGAGAUGAUCAUGUUUUGUAACCGAGUUAUCGGCAACUGACAGGAGCCAUAUGGUUGUCGCUUUAUUGUAUGCAAUACAGUCGCCCUGUAAUUGCUUUACUUAAUCACUAAGCGGUAGCGAUAGUCGUAGAAGCAAUAGUUGGCGAGACGACAAUGAUGCUACGAUGGAGAUCAAGGUGUCGCGCCGGUGACGAUGGUGAUCAUGACGGUGCUUCGAGAUGGAGAUCACAAGCACAAGAUGAUGAUGGCCAUAUCAUAUCACUUAUAUUGAUUGCAUGUGAUGUUUAUCUUUUGUGCAUCUUAUUUUGCUUAGAUCGACAGUAGCAUUAUAAGAUGAUCUCUCACUAAAUUUCAAGGUAUAAGUGUUCUCCCGGAGUAUGCACCGUUGCGGAAGUUCUUCGUGCUGAGACACCACGUGAUGAUCGGGUGUGAUAAGCUCUACGUUCAAAUACAACGGGUGUAAGACAGUUUUGCACACGCAGAAUACUCGGGUAAACUUGACGAGCCUAGCAUAUGCAGAUAUGGCCUCGGAACACUGGAGACCGAAAGGUCGAGCGUGAAUCAUAUAGUAGAUAUGAUCAACAUAGUGAUGUUCACCAUUGAAAACUACUCCAUCUCACGUGAUGAUCGGACAUGGUUUAGUUGAUUUGGAUCACGUGAUCAUUUAGAUGACUAGAGGGAUGUCUAUCUAAGUGGGAGUUCUUAAGUAAUAUGAUUAAUUGAACUUUAAUUUAUCAUGAACUUAGUCCUGGUAGUAUUAGCAUAACUAUGUUGUAGAUCAAUAGCUCGCGAUGAAGCUCCCUUUUUUAUUUUUGAUAUGUUCCUAGAGAAAACUAUGUUGAAAGAUGUUAGUAGCAAUGAUGCGGAUUGGAUCCAUGAUCUAAGGAUUAUCCUCAUUGCUGCACAGAAGAAUUAUGUUAUUGAUGCACCGCUAGGUGACAGAUCGAUUGCAGGAGCAGAUGCAGACGUUAUGAACGUUUGGCAAGCUCGAUAUGAUGACUACUUGAUAGUUUAGUGCACCAUGCUUUACGGCUUAGAAUCGGGGCUUCAAAGACGUUUUGAAUGCCAUGGAGCAUAUAAGAUGUUCCAAGAGUUGAAAUUGGUAUUUCAGACUCAUGCCCAUGUCGAAAGGUAUGAGACCUUUGACAAGUACUUUGCCUACAAGAUGGAGGAGAAUAGCUCAACCAGUGAGCAUGUGCUCAGAUUGUCUGAGUACUACAAUUGCUUGAAUCAAGUGGGAGUUAAUCUUCCAGAUAAGAUAGUGAUUGACAGAGUUCUCUAGUCACUAUCACCAAGUUACUAGAACUUCGUGAUGAACUAUAAUAUGCAAGGGAUAACGGAAACGAUUCCCAAGCUCUUCGUGAUGCUGAAAUCGACGAAGGUAGAAAUCAAGAAAAACAUCAAGUGUUGAUGGUUGACAAGACCGCUAGUUUCAAGAAAAUGGUAAAUGGAAGAAGGGGAACUUCAAGAAGAAUGACAAGCAAGUUGCUGCUCAUGAGAAGAAGCCCAAGUCUAGACCUAAGCCUGAGACUAAGUGCUUCUACUACAAAGGGACUGGUCACUGGAAGCAGAACUACCCCAAGUAUUUGGCAGAUAAGAAGGAUGGCAAAGAGAACAAAGGUAUAUUUGAUAUACAUGAUAUUGAUAUGUACUUUACUAGUGUUUAUAGCAACCCCUCGGUAUUUGAUACUAGUUCAGUUGCUAAGAGUAGUAACUUGAAAUGGGAGUUGCAGAAUGAACAGAGACUAGUUAAGGGUGAAGUGACGAUGUGUGUUGGAAGUAGUUCCAAGAAUGAUAUGAUCAUCAACGCACACUCCCUAUACUUUCGGGAUUAGUGUUGGACCUAAAUAAAUGUUAUUUGGUGUUUGCGUUGAGCAUGAAUAUGAUUUGAUCAUGUUUAUUGCAAUACGGUUAUUCAUUUAAUUUAGAGAAUAAUUGUUAUUCUGUUUACAUGAAUAAAACCUUCUAAGGUUAUACACCCAAUGAAAAUGGUUUGUUGGAUCUCGAUCGUAGUGAUACACAUAUUCAUAAUAUUGAAGCCAAAAGAUGCAAAGUUAAUAAUGAUAGUGCAACUUAUUUGUGGCACUGCCGUUUAGGUCAUAUUGGUGUAAAGCGCAUGAAGAAAAUCCAUGCUGAUGGGCUUUUGCUAUCACUUGAUUAUGAAUCAGUUGAUGCUUGCGAACCAUGCCUCAUGGGCAAAGAUGACUAAGACUCCGUUCUCCAGAACAAUGGAGCGAGCAACUGACUUAUUGGAUAUAAUACAUACCGAUGUAUGAGGUCCGAUGAGUGUUGAGGCUCGCGGCGGGUAUCGUUAUUUUCUGACCUCCACAGAUGAUUUGAGCAGAUAUGGGUAUAUGUACUUGAAGAAACAUAAGUCUGAAACAUUUGAAAAGUUCAAAGAAUUUCAGAGUGAAGUGGAAAAUCAUCGUAACAAGAAAAUAAAGUUUCUACGAUCUGAUCACAGAGGCGAAUAUUUGAGUUACCAGUUUGGUCUUCAAUUAAAACAAUGUGGAAUAGUUUCACAAACUCAUGCCACCUGGAACACCAUAUCGUAAUGGUGUGUCCGAACGUCAUAACCAUACUUUAUUGGAUAUAGUGCAAUCUAUGAUGUCUCUUACCGAUUUACCACUAUCGUUUUGGGGUUAUGCAUUAGAGACAACUACAUUCACGUUAAAAAGGGCACCAUCUAAAUCCGUUGAGACGACACCGUAUGAACUGUGGUUUGGCAAGAAACCAAAGUUGUCGUUUCUUAAAGUUUGGGGUUGCGAUGCUUAUAAGAAAAGUUUCAUCCUCAUAAGCUCAAACCCAAAUCGGAGAAAUGUGUCUUCAUAGGAUACCCAAAGGAGACAGUUGGGUACACCUUCUGUCACAGAUCUGAAGGCAAGAUAUUCGUUGCUAAGAAUGGAUCCUUUCUAGAGAAGGAGUUUCUCUCGAAAGAAGUGAGUGGGAGGAAAGUAGAACUUGAUGAGGUAACUGUACCUGCUCCCUUAUUGGAAAGUAGUUCAUCAUAGAAAUUUGUUCCUGUGACUCCUACACCAAUUAGUGAGGAAGCUAAUGAUGAUGAUCAUGUAACUUCAGAUCAAGUUACUACCGAACCUCGUAGGUAAACCAGAGUGAGAUCCGCAUAGAGUGGUACGGUAAUCCUGUUCUGGAGGUCAUGUUACUUGACCAUGAUGAACCUAUGAACUAUGAGGAAACGAUGAUGAGCCCAGAUUCCGCAUAAUGGCUUGAGGCCAUGAAAUCUGAGAUGGGAUCCAUGUAUGAGAACAAAGUGUGGACUUUGGUUGACUUUCCCGAUGAUCGGCAAGCCAUAGAAAAUAAAUGGAUCUUCAAGAGGAAGACGGACACUGAUAGUAGUGUUACUAUCUACAAAGCUAGACUUGUCGGAAAAAGGUUUUGACAAAGUUGAAGGUGUUAACUACGGUGAGAUUUUCUCACCCGUAGCGAUGCUUAAGUCCGUCUGAAUCAUGUUAGCAAUUGCCGCAUUUUAUGAUUAUGAAAUUUGGCAAAUGGAUGUAAAGACUGCAUUCCUGAAUGGAUUUCUGGAAGAAGAGUUGUAUAUGAUGCAACCUGAAGAUUUUAUUGAUCCUAAAGGUGCUAACAAAAUGUGCAAGCUCCAGCGAUCCAUCUAUGGACUGGUGCAAGCAUCUCAGAGUUGGAAUAUACGCUUUGAUGAGUUGAUCAAAGCAUAUAGUUUUAUACAGACUUGCGGUGAAGCCUGUAUUUACAAGAAAGUGAGUGGGAGCACUACAACAUUUCUGAUAAGUAUAUGUGAAUGACAUAUUGUUGAUCGGAAAUAAUGUAGAAUUUUCUGGAAAGCAUAAAGGAGUAUUUGAAAGGAGUUUUUUCAAAGAAAGACCUCGGUGAAGCUGCUUACAUAUUAAGCAUCAAGAUCUAUAGAGAUAGAUCAAGACGCUUGAUAAGUUUUUUCAAUGAGUACAUACAUUGACCAGAUUUUGAAGUAGUUCAAAAUGGAACAGUUAAAGAAAGAGUUCUUGCCUGUGUUACUAGGUGUGAAAUUGAGUAAGACUCAAAACCCGACCAUGGCAGAAGAUAGAAAGAGAAUGAAAGUCAUUCCCUAUGCCUCAGCCAUAGUUUCUAUAAAGUAUGCCAUGCUGUGUACCAGAUCUGUUGUAUACCCUACACUGAGUUUAGCAAGGGAGUACAAUAGUGAUCUAGGAGUAGAUCACUGGACAGCAGUCAAAAUUAUCCUUAGUGGAAUAAGGAUAUGUUUCUCGAUUAUGGAGGUGACAAAAGGUUCGUCGUAAAGGGUUACGUCGAUGCAAAUUUUGACACUGAUCCAGAUGACUCUAAGUCUCAAUCUGGAUACAUAUUGAAAGUGGGAGCAAUUAGCUAGAGUAGCUCCGUGCAGAGUAUUGCUGACAUAGAUAUUUGCAAAAUACAUACGGAUCUGAAUGUGGCAGACCCGUAGACUAAACUUCUUUCACAAGCAAAACAUGAUCACACCUUAGUACUCUUUGGGUGUUAAUCACAUAGUGAUGUGAACUAGAUUAUUGACUCUAGUAAACCCUUUGGGUGUUGGUCACAUGACGAUGUGAACUAUUGGUGUUAAAUCACAUGGCGAUGUGAACUAGAUUAUUGACUCUAGUGCAAGUGGGAGACUGAAGGAAAUAUGCCCUAGAGGCAAUUAUUUAUUUCCCUAUUUCAUGAUAAAUGUUUAUUAUUCAUGCUAGAAUUGUAUUAACCGGAAACAUAAUACAUGUGUGAAUACAUAGACAAACAUAGUGUCACUAGUAUGCCUCUACUUGACUAAGUUGUUAAUCAAAGAUGGUUAAGUUUCCUAACCAUAGACAUGAGUUGUCAUUUGAUUAACAGGAUCACGUCAUUAGGAGAAUGAUGUGAUUGACUUGACCCGUUCCGCUAGCUUACCACUUGAUCGUUUAGUAUGUUGCUAUUGCUUUCUUCAUGACUUAUACAUGUUCCUAUGACUAUGAGAUUAUGCAACUCCCAUUUAACGGAGGAACACUUUGUGUGCUACCAAACAUCACAACGUAACUAGGUGAUUAUAAAGGUGCUCUAUAGGUGUCUCCGAAGGUACUUGUUGAGUUGGCGUAUUUCGAGAUUAGGAUUUGUCACUCCGAUCGUCGAAGAGGUAUCUCUGGGCCCACUCGGUAAUACACAUUGUCGGUGUACGAAAAGAGGGGUGCGUUUUUGUACCCCUUUACCUGUGCACGGGCAGUCGGAGCCGCGCCCGCGGUCACACCAAGCAGAACAGGGGAGAUGAGCCAAGGUAAGCCGAAGCCCAAUAUAAUCAGAGCAACGCCAAGGCCAAGACCACAAAGGGCAGAGGGACGAAGUAGGUUCCCUCGGCGAGACCCUUGCUGGGGCAGCCUCAGCAGCCCCGGCAAGAUCCUUGCCGGGACAGCUCGCCCCACACAAACAGAGCGAGCCACCCUUGAGCCCACGGUCCCCAACGCCAUCAUCCACGUUGGGCCAGGGCUCGGGAGGCACCUCCGUGGUGGCAUGCAGAUCUUUGUGAAGACAUAUUCAAGAUCAGAUGAGGAUUAGAAGACAACGAUCCUCGGUAAGAUCCUUGCCGAGGAAGGCCACCAGACCCCCGGCAAGGCCCUUGCCGGGGACGACAUCGCGCCACGGCAAGACCCUUGCCGGGCCACGCGACAAGACCCUUGCCGGGCCACCCGGCAAGGCCCUCACAGAGGACGCCAGCGGGGCCACCGCCAGGCCCACGCCAACCAAGCUUCCACCGCUGUUCGCAUGCAACUGCCAGCCCAACCAGCUCGGCGGGCACCUGCGUGGCAACAUGCAGCCCCCAGGCCAACUCAUCGAGCGCCUGCGUGGCGGCAUGCAGAUCUUCGUGAAGGCUCCACCACCGCGCCACCUCAGCUGCCUGCCUGCCUACAUGGCGCCACACGCAUCGCUGGCCAGGGUGCGUGUCAAGGCGAGGAGGAGCGGCGACGGACGGGACGGGCCUCACCCCGUCCCCAAUAAAGCAAGGGGACACCUAAGCUAUGCAUUAAAUGCCUCUUGUCCUGUAAUACGAGCGAUAAGCUCAGGGCACUGUACGCCUUUCCACCUCCUGUGUGCCACUGUGGCAGCCCCUUCCGACUAUAAAAGGAGGCCCAUGGCAUACUGGAGAAGGAUUCGGCUCUUUCGAACCACGCACUCGCCACAGCUAGUUCGAGAGCUCAAGAACUCUCUGAAAUACACCCACCAAAGCAGGACUAGGGUUUUACGCAUCCUCGCGGUCCGAACCUGGGUAAACGAUCCUUGUGCUGGCUACUGAUCCUGCUCUUCUUGCAACCCCGCGCCCCGGCAACCGUAGUAGGGAUUCUUGUGAUCCCAUAGGUGUCGUUCCACACCAACAUCUUUGGCGCGCCAGGUAGAGGGCGCAAUUGUGAGAAUCUGGUCUAGUAGUUAGCCUAGCAGUUCUUCAUCGCCAUGGCUCCUAAGAAGAAGACGGCCACGGCGGUCGGCUCAUUGGGAGCCGAACGGCCCGUGCCAGUGCGGGCGGGCAGUGGACCGGUCGCAGACAGGACCCGGGCCGCGGUCCGCGAGCACCAGCAUCGCCCUGGUAGCCAGAGCCUGGCGAGCGGCGUCGUUCGCGCACCAGACGACCGGCCACACGACGCCAGAUCCAAAGACGGAGCUGGGCCCCCCGCAGGCGGCGCGGGGCCCUCCAGGGGUGUCGUUGUGCCACCUCCGGGCGGCGCAUCGACCUCCAAGACGCCCACGCCGGCGACCACUGCGCGCUCUUCCCAUGGUGUGCGCGUCGAGCAGCGCCACCACGCUGGUGACCCUGGCCACCGCCGUGGAAAGAGCCCUGUGCGUCAUCCGCGGGAUGAAGGUGUUCAGCAUGCCCGCCGAAGCGCUGGCGAAAAUGGCACACAACCGCUGGGUCGUAACAGAGCUCCUUCUAACAUAGUUAGAAGUCGAAGCGCGCCGCGAUCCACGCAGCUGUCGCCGCCACCCAUGCCAGCAGAAGCUUUGGCGCACGCUCAGCUGCUCCUCGACUUCCCUCCUGCUGUAGAGAAGCUCGACGAGUGGAGGGCCACCAUCCGGAGCCUCGUCGCCGUCGCCAACAAAGACGAUCCAUGACCAGCGGGGCCCUCGGGUCGGCGCUCCACCGAGCCACCACGUGAUGGCGCUGGGAGGACCGGGGGAGCUGCGGCCAUGAUGCACUCUCCUCCUCCUCACCAGCCGCCGCGGGCGUCUGCCUGUCAUGACGACGCUUGUGAUAACAUCUCUAUAGCGUCGUCCGACCCGCGGACCCACCGCGACCAGCGCCAGGUCCUUCAGGAACGAGCUCACGAAGACGCUCGAACCACCGUCGAGUGCUAGCGCGAAACGCGCCGCCAGUCGGACAAGCGGGCAGGACCCGCUAUGGACCACCCGGCACCGGGGGGCUCCAGCGGCCUACCUUACGAGGUGGGCUGCCCGACCUUUACUCGUGAGCUGCGGCAGUUCCAGUGGCCGUCCCACCGCACGUUCAAGCCCAACGUCGGCGAGAAGUACACUGGCAAGACCCAUCCGUCCGAGUUCCUCAGCAUCUACACCAUCGCGAUGCAGGCUGUUGGUGCUCGUGACGACAAGGUGCUUGCCAACUAUUUCCCGCUAGCGCUCAAGCCCAAUGUGAUGUCUUGGUUGAUGCACUUGCCGGUGGAUUCCAUUUCUUCUUGGUCGGAUCUGUGCCAUGAGUUCGUUGGCGCCUUCACAGGAGGCCACCAAGCUCAUGGCCAGGCUAGUGAGCUGCAUAUCAUUCCCCAGAAGGAAGGGGAGACCCUGCGCAAGUACAUCCAGAGAUUCAACCGGGUGCAGUACAACAUCCCCGAUGUUCAUCCCGCCGUUGUGAUUAGCGCGUUCCACCAGAACAUGCGCAAUCGCAAGAUGCGCGAGGAGCUGGCGAUGACCAAGAUUAAGGAUGUGGCCGAGCUCUACGUUCUGGCUGAUAGAUGCACCCGGGCUGAAGAGGGAAGGAAGUACCCCGGCGAAGACGCCGGCGCGGAAACCGACUCUACCGAUGAAGACGCCACCACCCCGACGAAGAAGGGCCGGCGUUGCAACAGGAAACGCAAAGGCAAGGUCGUACUUGCCGUUGAGGGAUCUGGCGAUACCGGUGCCGACAAGAAGGUCUAGGCAGAUGCCCCCGACAAGGAGAUUGCCGGGUGCGCCGCCUGCUGGGCCUUGGCGGCUACCGACAAGCCAGGAAGCUUCGGCAAGCAAUACUGCAAGAUCCACCGCACCAAGGGCCACGACCUCCAGAACUGCCGACAAGUCGAGCUGCUUGCUGAGAAGAAAAAGGCUGAGUACGAGAGGCGGGACAAGGAGAAGGACCGGGACGGUGCCGAGGGAUCCGGCAAGAAGCGUGGCGGCCAAGGAGGCCGCCCCGGCAAGGACAACCAGCAAGAGAGGCCCGCCCGGGGCCGCGACAAGAAACAAGAAGACGAUGAUCACGACGAGGACGAUGAGUCUGGUGAGCAAGGGUUCCAGAAGGCUACGGAGGCCAUGUGCAUCGAUGGCGGCGCCUCGCUGCAUACCUCUCACCGCCAGCUCAAGCAGUGGGCGCGUGAGAUUACAGCAGCAGAGCCGUCGUUCGACACUCAGAAGCCGCUGAAGUGGUCCAGCACGCCCCUCAUCUUUGACGCCGAGGACCACCCUGACCGCACUACCACGGUCGGGUGUUUUCCAUUGUUGGUCUCACCAACGAUACGCAACCUCAGGGUGAACAAGAUGUUGGUUGACGGCGGGGCCGGCCUAAACCUGAUCUAGCCUGUCGUGAUCAAAAGGUUGCAAAUCCCUGAUGGAGACUUCGAGGAAACGGGCACGUUUCAAUGGGUCAACCCGGGGAGGAGCCAGCCGAAGGGAAAGGUCACACUGCCCGUGACAUUUGGAGGAGAGUUGAACCACAGGACGGAGAGGAUCGUCUUUGACGUGGCCGAGAUCCCCUUGCCCUACAACGGGAUCCUCGGCCGCUCAGCACUAGCCAAGUUCAUGGCGGCGUCACACUACGCCUACAACAUGCUAAAGAUGCCCGGGCCGUUGACCAUCAUCUCCGUCCCCUCCGACAAGAAGGACACGCUGAUUUGCGCCGACUAACUCUACUGGGAGGCAGUUGCAGCGGCGGCCACCAAGGCACCUGCUCCUGCCGCUGAAGCCCCGGGAGGGAGGAAGAAGCCCGGCAAGACCUCUCGCACCCACUCCGGCAAGCGCACCUCUUCGGAGUGUUGUGAUGCCGUCGAGGACGUGCCAGAGAGCUCUACCGACAAGAGCAAGAGAUCCAGAGCCGAGCCACCGCAAACUAAGAAGGUGUCCGCCAGGGAGGAUGGCAUGGGAGGGGCCUUCACCAUAGGCUCCACCCUGGCAGCAAAUAGGAAGGCGUGCUCGUCACCUUCCUGUGGGCGAAUGUCGACGUGUUUGCAUGGCAAGCAUCCGACAUCCCCGGUGUUCCCAGGGAGGUGAUUGAGCACCACCUAGCUGUCUGCCCUCAUGCGCGGCCCGUCAAGCAGAAGGUCAGAAAGCAGGCUCUGGAGAGGCAGGAGUUCAUCACAGAGGAGAUUAGGAAGUUGGAAGCGGCAGGUUUGGUGAGGGGAGUGCUCCACCCGACGUGGUUGGCCAAUCCGAUAGUGGUGCGCAAGGCGAAUGGGAAGUGGAGACUGUGUAUUGAUUACACAGAUAUCAAUAAGGCUUGUCCUAAGGACCCCUUCCAAUUGCUGCGCAUCGACCAGAUUGUUGACUCCAUGACCGGGUGUGAUCUGUUGUCGUUCCUCGACGCCUACUCGGGCUACCACCAGAUCUUCAUGACAAGAGAGGAUGAAGAAAAGACAGCGUUCAUCACCCCAUGUGGUACAUAUUGCUUUUUACGGAUGCCUUUCGGGUUGAAGAGCACUGGCUCAACAUUUGCAAGAGCAUUCCAGAUUGGUUUUGAACCUCAGCUCCAUAGAAAUAUGGAGGCCUACAUGGAUGACAUAGUGGUCAAAACCAAGGACGGGUCAACUCUUGUGCAAGAUCUGGAAGAGACAUUUGCCAACCUGCGCGAGAUCAACCUCAAGCUGAACCUUGAGAAGUGUGUCUUCGGCGUUCCGUCCGGCAAGCUUCUCGGGUUCUUUGUGUCACAGCGCGGGGUCGAGGCAAACCAAGACAAAAUCAAGGCUAUUGAGUAGAUUCAUGCAUUAGAGUGUUGCAUCAUGUUUCUUUUUUUUUCCAGAAACUUGAAAUGGGGAAGACACAAACCCCAGCACCCCCUGUUAACAACUAGGGUUUACUAAAAAUAAUUUCAAUGAACCUGAAAUGCCCUUCUAAAAUGUUCAUCAUCUCUGCCUUGGUCUUAAACCACUGCCAAAAGUGAUGCACAAAUUUCUAGGACCUUAAGGUCACUGGAUUAAUCCAUUAGCUCUUUGAUUUUGGGCAUUUAAAUAAUAUAAAAUAUUUCAAGUGCUCAAAUAAUCCCAAACUAAAAUGUUCCAUGCCAUAUAAAUUCUAAACAGUGGCCAUGUGCAUUUUGGUGAUUUUAGGAGAUGCCUAAGUAUUUUUAAUAAUGCAACAAACUUACAGAAAAAUAAAAAAACAAGUUAAAUUAGAAAAAGAGAGAGAGAGAGAGAGAGAAAGGCCAGAGGCCACUUACCUGGCGCCCACCCGCGGCCCAGCAGAGGCCCAGCCCACCCGGCCGUGCCAGUCAUCCCCCACCUCUGCCAGUAGGUAGAGGAGGGACACCGCGACGCCGCCGCGCGCGCCAUGGCGUCACCUGCUUGCCGCCCGCGCCUCUGGAGGAUCUGGACGACGCCCACGUCGCCCGCUCGACCGCCCCGACACCUCAUUCGCCCCCAGCACCUCUCCCUCGCCUCGCCUCCGCCAUGGCCGACGCUGCCGAGCUCGCGCCGGCGUGAACCUCGCAGCCACCGUGCUCCCCUCGCCUUCCCGUGCUAUCCAGCAGCUCCGUCUCGACGCCCUCGUCCUCUCAGUCGUCACCCUCGACUUCGCCGCCUCUGCUCCGAGACCGCCGGCGACCUCCCGACGUCGUCAGCCCGUCCCCGACCGUGCCGUUUGCUUCUACAUGACCGCAGUGAGGUCUGCUACCUUCUCCCCCUGCUCGUUCUCGCUCUCGAGCUCCGUAGCAACUGCACGUAGCUCACCCGCACGCGCCGCCGCCGAGCUCGUCGCCGGCGCCACUCUGGCCACUCCCCGGCCGCGCCACCCCCACGGUUGGAUGCGGACGAGCGUCCGCAUCCCGUAGCUGUGCUCCGCGCGCCAAACGGCGCCCCGUAGGGCAAACCCGUGGCUCGCCGCCGCGUCUGGCCUCGCCGGCGGCUAAACGCCGGCGAGUUGACCCCGUUUGACCCAGGCUGACCCCCUCCCCUGAGUCAAUGACAAGUGGGGCCCGCCUGCUAAUUAACCUGGAUUAACUUUUAAUUAAUUCUAAAUUAUUUAGUUUACUAACAGUGACGCUGAUGUGUGGACCCCACACGUCAUGUUUGACCUGGACGACCCCGCUGACCAGCUGACAUCACCCUGAGGCAAUGCUGACGCAUUAAUUUAAUUACUGGAAUUAUUUUUAUACAGGAAAUUCCAGAAAAUACCCAAAACUUCUGAAAUUCAUAGAAAUUCAACCAUAACUCCAAAUGAAACAAAUUAUAUAUGAAAAAUUAUCAGAAAAUGCAAUCUAUCCAUCUGUAUCAUUUUCAUGCAUGUCAAACUAAGUUAUACCUGCUGUAUAGGUGAAAACAUGAUAAUGACAUUUUAAAUGCUAAAUGUGGAGUUUGCAUAUGAACCCUUAGUUCAUAUGGACUUCAUUUAAACUGUUGUUAGAUGCAUUAAUGUAAAUCAUAACAUUCUUGACAUGUCACGACCAUGCAUCAUAUUGUUGCAUUGCAUUGAUUGUGUUUCCUCUCUGUUGCCGGUAAUUGUCCCCUCUCGAUAGCCGUGAUUCCGACGAUGAGUUCGAUGACACCGAUGAAGAACUAUAAUAUCUUCAGAAGUGCCAGGCAAGCAAAACCCCCUUGUUCAUGCCGACACAAUCCCACUCUCUCGCUCCUGCUCUCUUUUACUGCAUUAGGACAACAACGAUUCAUCUGUUACUUGCUGCGGUAGUUGAACCCCUUAUCCUCUGCAUGACCUGUCAUUGCCACAGUAAAUAGAUGAAACCCACUAGCAUGAGUAGGAGUUGUUUGAGCCCUGAUGUGCCUACUCAUUCAUGCUUGUUUGUCAUGCCUGCUAUUGCUUAGAGUUGUGUCAGGUCUGAUUCAUCGGGGAUGAGUUGGAAUGGUGAUGAACAUGUCCUACUGUGUGUGAGCUAAGUGUGUGAACACGAUUUGGUAAAGGUAGCGGUGAGAGGCCAUGUAGGAGUACAUGGUGGGUUGUCUCAUUGAAGCCGUCCUCAUGAACUGAGUUCUGUGUUUGUGAUCCAUGAAAGAGUUACUACCACGCAUUGGGCCCGAAACCAAUGGACCCUCUCGACUUCUUAACCACCCUUGUCCUCUGUCCAGGACUUGCAAGUAGUUUCUGGUGUUUGUAGUAUGCUAGAGGCCGUGGAUAGCGCUGACCCGAGGGGUGGGCUGUGAUGCGGUAGGCACGUGGCCGGGCAUGCCGGGCGCCCGUUUGGUGUCUCGGAACCCUGUACACAUCGUUCGGGGCCGUAUGUGGAAACCUCGGCCGGACUCCCUGCGGAUGGAACCUGAAUAGGCGAUAAACCUGGACUUGAGACUUGAGUGUUAGGUAGGCUGUGGCCGACACCCUCGCUGGGCUUCCGCUUGAAGGUUGCCGAGUACAUGUCGUGUAAACGGCGGUAAGUGGUGAGAGCGUGUGUGACGAAGUACACCCCUGCAGGGUUAAUAUGAUCUAUUCGAAUAGCCGUGUCCGCGGUAAAGGACUUCUGGGUUGCCUAUAACAGUUCAUAGACAAGUGAAAGUGGAUACUCUAAAAUGCGCAAGAUAAGCGUGAGUGCUAUGGAUGGCGUUCUCGUAGGGAGAUGUGAGCGGAUCCAUAGUGGAGUAUUGAUAUGGUGAAUAUGUGGACUCGUGUGCGCCACCUCAAAAGAGUUACUUGCAGUCGUAGUUAGGAUAGCCACCGAGUCAAAGCUGGCUUGCUGCAGUUAAAUUCCACCACCCCCUUUGUUGAUACCGAUGCAUAUGUAGAUAGUUCUGAUGUAAGUCUUGCUGGGUACAUUUGUACUCACAUUUGCUUAUUUUAUGUUUUGCAGAGAGACGUCAGUCUCGCUAGUAGUUCCGUGUGGACUUCGACGUUUAGCUUGAUACCUCAGCUACGAUCUUGUGCCCUCGGCAGGAUCUAGUAAAUAGUCAGGCUUCUCAGUCUUUUUCAUUUGUAGAUGGCUGUACUCAGACAUGUUAAGCUUCCGCAUGUGUUUGACUUGUAUGCUCUGAAUGUUGGGUCAUGAGACCCAUGUUUGUAAUAUCUCGCUCCUCGGAGCCUAAUGAAUAAAUACUUGAGUCGUAGAGUUAUGUUGUGAUGCCAUGUUGUAUUUACACAUAUCGAGCAUAUUGUGUGUAUGAUUGAAAUGCUUGGUAUGUGUGGGAUCCGACAACCUAGUUGUUUAUCCUUGGUAGCCUCUCUUAUGGGGAAAUGUAGUCUUGUGCUUCCAUGAGCCAUAGUAGUCCGCUACAGCCCGGUUCACCGGAGUCCUGCUAGCCCAGCACUACUGCUCCGGAACACUUGACUGGCCGGCAUGUGUUUCACUUCGCUCUUGUGUCUGUCCCUUCGGGGGAAUGUCACGCGGUGACAUCCGGAGUCCUGCCUAGCCUGCUACAGCCCGGGUUCCCGGAGUCCUGUUAGCCCAGUGCUACAGCCCGGAUUCGCACGCUGCUGACCGACAUGCUCGAUGUUGAUUCACGUAUGCCUGUCCCCGUAAGUUAGUGCCACUUUGGGUUCACGACUAGUCAUGUCGGCCCGGGUUCUCUGUCAUAUGGAUGCUAGCGACAUUAUCAUAUACGUGAGCCAAAAGGCGCAAACGGUCCCGGGCCAUGGUAAGGCGACACCCGUGGGAAUACCGUGCGUGAGGCCGCAAAGUGAUAUGAGGUGUUACAGGCUAGAUCGGUGUGACUUAGAAUCGGGGUCCUGACAGCGUUGGUAUCAGAGCUUGACUGCCUGUAGGAUUACCAAGCCAAACUGGUCGAAGUUGUGUCUAGAAAUGCUUUAGUUAUAUAAGGGAAUUGAUUGUGGGAGGGAACGUAAACCUCUUUUUACUCCUUUACCUUAUGCCCUUCUGAUCUGAGUCACCCUCUUCUCUUCUACGGGGAUUAAGAACUAGGCUUCUCAUCUUUCUAUCAGGAUCACGUGUUACUAAUCCGUAGACUCAUAGGACUGUUGGAUUUAAGCUUCAUUUCAGUUCCUACUACUUUCGUGUAUCCAUAGCUGGCCUCAAAUUCUUGAUAUUGUGAUGAUCGAGUGGUUACGCCACCAUUUUGCAGGAUGUCUUAAAUCUUUUUGAGCAUUUACAGCCGUUAUGCUGUCCGAGUCAUCCCAGGCUUCUAAAUAAUCUGAUGCAUUUGCAAAUCCCUUCUUUCCGUUCUCGAUGUUCCUUUGGGCCAGAUUAACCACACUAAUCGUUGAGUUGAGGUACUCUGUUGCCUUGACAUAUAUGUUGGAGUUAUUAUUAUGACCCUAGGUGUCUUAGAGGACCACUUAGUAAUCUAGCAAUGCUUGCAUCCCCAGUGUGAUGAUUCUGGCCAUUAUUCUUGAAAGCAUCCCGUGAUGCCAUUUAGUUAGUAGGCAUUCUAUUUCUGGGUUCUUGAGCCCAAGAUUCACUCCACUUACCUCCUGUUGAUAGUGUUUGCUCGUUCCUUUAGGAUAUUAGUAACCUUGCGACAGUCCUCGAGGUCCAUGGUAUUUCCUUCUUCCAAAUACCAUGAACCAUUAUGGCAGAAGUUCUUUUAACCAAAAGAUCACAACCAGGGCGCUCUUGAGGAGUACUCCAUUCAUAUUGUGACUCUGCCAGUCGUUCCUCCUCUGCAUGGGUUAUCCGGAAGAAAUAUGUUGAAUUUGUUUGACAUACUAAUCCAUGCAUCCACAACUCAGAAAAACAUAUGUUCCUUUGGGUUGUCCCUCUUUAGUUAUUUUCUGGCCCUCGUCUAUCAAUUGAUAGUCAGGAGCAAUUGUGCAUUUGUGUUAUCGAUGCCUAUUAUUCUUGUGGUCUGUCAAGCCAUUCUAAUCCGGGAUGACUAGGAGAAACAAACUCUAGUACCUCGUCCAUCUCUAGGAUUGGGUCAAAGUAGUUGUAUUCCGGAGAUCAAAUGCCUAACCAGCUUUUGUUCUGUUCUACCUUCGAGUAUUACCCCCUUUAUGUCGAGAAUAUCGUAGGAAUUGCACCACCUUUUGUGAAUUCUUGACGCAGUGAUACUCCUCGCCAUCAUCAUUCAUUUCUCGGUCCCGUGUUAUUGUAACCGGAACACCGACAAGUGAAUCAUGAUGCAUGAAAUCAAUACUCCUAGCAACUCCGUUGCUUGGUAGUUAAAGGACAAUAAUUUCAUCCUUAGCGUGUUGGUUACUGAAUCACAUCCUAAGGUUGAUCGUGCUACCUAGUCCUUAUUUCCGGUGCACUCUUCGAUCAAUGAGUUAGGAUUAUUCAAUCCCUUGCUUAUUUGAUCAUAUCGUCUUGCUCUGAAAGGCGAGAUUGUUCUCGAGCCUAGUAACAUAUCGGUGGUUCGUGAUUUCCUGAAUAUCUUCUCGGAAGUAUCACUAGGUUGCUCCCUGACCGUUAUGUUGAGCUCGUGAUCAAGUUGGUUUCCUAUAAACCACCCCUUCUCCAAGAAUCUGUGUUGGAUACCCCUGAGCUGGUUGGUUGAGCUAAACAACAACUUGGAGAGUUGGAAGAUAAAAGCUUUGUCCGACUUAGUUCAUCAUUAAGGGAUAUCUUGGUGUGUGUGUGUGUGUUAAAGAAAGAUGAUAUCUUC
RNAcentral lists this long non-coding RNA (76818 nucleotides) under Triticum aestivum (bread wheat). RNAcentral describes it as "long non-coding RNA (TAES_LNC008624)". Lineage: Eukaryota; Viridiplantae; Streptophyta; Magnoliopsida; Poales; Poaceae. The record is from RNAcentral.